This 63086-nucleotide long non-coding RNA is filed under the name Triticum aestivum (bread wheat). Its description in RNAcentral is "long non-coding RNA (TAES_LNC011574)". Lineage: Eukaryota; Viridiplantae; Streptophyta; Magnoliopsida; Poales; Poaceae. The record is from RNAcentral.
UUUAUCUGAAGUUCACUUAUUCAUUACGCAACGAUACUGCUGUGCCAGCAACAGUUUCAACCAACAGAUAACACGGGGACUCGAUAGUUCAUUAAACCAACACAGCAGGACUGACACGAACGAGAAAACAGUUCAAAUGAACGACAGGACGCCAGGGCAAUUACGGACCACCACACCACGGAGACGGAGCACCAUGUGAAGGGUGGAUCAAACGCCAGGGCAAUUACUGACCACCACGGAGACGGAGCACCAGGUGAAGGGUGGACUCCUUCUGGAUGUUGUAGUCUGCUAGGGUGCGACCAUCCUCCAGCUGCUUGCCAGCAAAGAUCAGGCGCUGCUGGUCCGGGGGAAUGCCCUCCUUGUCCUGGAUCUUGGCCUUGACAUUGUCGAUGGUGUCGGAGCUCUCAACCUCCAGAGUGAUGGUCUUGCCAGUGAGGGUCUUCACGAAGAUCUGCAUGCCACCACGCAGGCGCAGCACCAGGUGGAGGGUGGACUCCUUCUGGAUGUUGUAGUCGGCGAGGGUACGGCCAUCCUCCAGCUGCUUGCCAGCAAAGAUCAGGCGCUGCUGGUCCGGGGGAAUUCCCUCCUUGUCCUGGAUCUUGGCCUUGACGUUGUCAAUGGUGUCGGAGCUCUCAACCUCAAGGGUGAUGGUCUUGCCGGUGAGGGUCUUCACGAAGAUCUGCAUCUGCAGAGAAGAAUACCAAAUAGAAUGGUAAGCCUCAAGAAGCAAACUGAGAUGAUAAACACUACUACAUAAAUAAUCUUAUAUACAACCACGCCAUAUAUAUUUAGGUGCAUGCUCAUGACCACAAGAAACUAAAGAUUGUGAUUCCACGGAGCUGUCAGACAUGCUUAUCAUCUAAGGGAAGAAGUCUGGCUUUUUCUGAGAAAAAGCCAUCUACAGAUUGUAGAUAAUAAACAAACGGCAGCAGCAUAUUUUCUUCAUUAUAUAAAGAUAAACUAACAGACUGUUAAGUGCACGCAGAUGCAUAUUUUCCACAUAGCUGCCGGACAUGCUUAACAUCCAAGGAAGGGAAGCCUAACUUUCUCAGGGGAAAUCAAUCUACAUGCUUAACAUCCAAGGAAGGGAAGCCUAGCUUUCUCAGGGGAAAUCAAUCUACAAUCCUACGCCUAUUAGGACGAUCUCGGUACAGCAUAUGAGCACGAGCGACACAUCAGGCAGUAUACGCGUCUGGGAGAGAAAGAACUACGACACAAAAGGCUAAUAAUGGAUUCGACCAUAAAAUUCAAGCAUAAUAAAGAGUUAAACGAAUCUAUCACUGAGGAGCGGAUGAAGCAGUACAUAAAUCAUGCAUAUGAGACUAUACGGGUCAAGGACUUGACCUCGAACACGAACAGAUCUACCCCUACAAUCUACACGCAAAAAUCCCUAAGAAUUCGCCAAAGCUUCGCCGUCCUACCAUGCGCGAACGGAUCGGGCAACAGGAAUCGUUCCCACAGCAUCAGAUCGGAGCAGAAACUGAUACUACGCAUCCAACAAUCUAAUCAACGCGGAUCUAGACGAUACGGGAAGAGGGGAAGCAAGCGCCGUACCUUGAGGCGGUGGGGGAGGAGGAUCCGACGAGCCUGGAGUCGAUCGGAGACGAGAUUGGCUGGGGAUUUGUUGGUUCCGUUCCUGGGAGCUGUUGUGAGGAUUGGAGGCUGGGAGGGGGGCGGUAUUUAUGGCGGCUGGUGACGGGCCCUGGUGGAGAAGGAAUCCAUCCCGUGCCGUGACGGUUCCGUCUGUUGGACGCGCCCGUCUCGUGCUCGUCUCCGCCACGCGAAGGAUCCGACGGGCGCGGAGGGUUCGAGAAAGGACGGUGGCUCCGUUUGGCCCGUCUACCUCGCGUGGGGCGUGGGGCAUUGGGGGAAAAAAAUUCUAUUAGACCAGGUCUCACGGAUUAGCAGGUGAGACCCAUCCUGAUGGAUGACACGUGUCAUCCACAAAUCACGAAGCAUUCACCCCACCCCCACCUGAAAUCAGGGGGGAGAGAUUAAAUGCUUUGUGAUUUGUGAAUGUCACAUGUCAUUCAUCAGGGCGGGUCUCACCUGAUUUAUAUGAGACCUGGUCUCAUAUAAUUUUUUUCCGGCAUUGGGGUUGGUGGCCGUUAGGCACCCCCUAACGCCGUUAGGCGGCUUGUUGGCCUGUGCCGCUGGCGCGUAUGGCCCGCUUUCCACGUGGUUGCGUGUGAUUGUAGGUCGAGUGCUCCUUUCGCUGAUUGCUCUGUUAACGUGUCGUUCUGUUGCACUUCUCCAAAUAAAAAAUCCAGUGAGCUAAUUUGGACUUUCAGUUCCAAAAGAAAAAAUGACUUUGACAGGUUGCACCAAUGAGCCUCUGUGCGGAAGCGGUUCCCCUGACGUGCGGCUCCUGCCGUUGUGGCGCUGCCAUGUGGGCCUGUUCCCCGAUGGGUCCAUCAGUCAGUGGUCGAACGGCACCCUGCCGAACGGCAGAGGAUCCUCGUUCCCUCUGUGCAUCCGCUGCGGCCACGCUGGGCAUGUCUCUUCCCAAUGUAGGGAGCCUUGCAGUCCCAUCUCGGCGGAGGAGCUGCGCCGUGCGGUGAUCGCCAAGGUCGCUCGCAGGUCAGAGUCGCCCGGUCAGGCACCGGCCAUUCGGCGGAGGCUGUCGGAGCCUAGGCAGAGCGCGCCGGCGGCGCAGCUCUCGCCAGUUGCGCCCAGCUUCCGCCCAAUGAUGCCGGAUUUGGCCCUGUCUGUGGCGCCGUCUGAGGUCUGUGUGCUGCCGCGCUCGGAGGGGAUGGAUGACCUCGAGCGUCGGCUUCAGCUGGCGGUGGUGAUGUAUGUUGGCGGGGCUAGGCCGGCCGUGUCCUGCGACGAUGCUGUGGUCGCGGUCUCCGUGCAACUGGGGAUUCCAAGGUUUCGUUUUUCUGUCCAUAAGUUUCAUCCGGAAGAUUUCUUGGUCAUUUUUGCGGCACACGAGUUCAGGAACAGAGCGCUGGCCGCACCAGAGAUUGAGCACAUGGGAGUCUAGUUCUUCAUCAAGCCGUGGCUCAGGCAGGCUCAGGCGGCUUCCAGGCUGAUGCGGGUCCAGGUGGACCUCAUGAUGGAGGGUGUUCCGGCUCAUGCGUGGGCUCAGGAGACGGCAGCUGAGCUGCUCGGGAAUGCUUGUUUGAUCGAGAGUUUGGCGCCGGAAACGGCCAGUAGGGAAGAUUUGUCUAUGUUCAAGUUGAGAGCCUAGUGUGUGGAUCCUGAGGAUGUGUCGAUUUUUCGGAAGCUGUGGGUGCCGGAACCGCCGGAGAUGGUGCAUGACCCGGCGGCCAGGUGUGCGUCAUUCUGCCAGCUCCUGGAGUACCCUGUGUUCAUCCACAUUGGCAGGGUAAGGGACUUCACGCCGCCAGAGAUGUGGAGACGUGCGUCGGGAUCGGACGGAGGAAGCGAGCAGAGUGGGUUGCCGGACAGCGCGAACAGCUCGUUUCAGGGAGGAGAGUGGAUAGUACAGCCAUGGACGCGGGGCAUCCAAGACAACCAUGGAGCAGGCCGGAGGAGCAACGGCGGCGGUGGUGGCGACACGCACGGCCGUUCAUACCGGGCGGUUCUGGAAGGUAGGGUGGGCCCCUCGUCCUGGAGUCUCCCACCAAUCGGACCGACCCCGUUGACGGUCAAGCCAGCGGCGGGAUUGCAGAGCCACGGGACGGUGGUGGGCCCGGAUAUUUCAAAAGAGCCAAUCCGGGUGAGCGAUAAGCUGCCCAUAGUGGUGGAGACAGCUGGAGAGUUGGUGCUGGCGACAAAGACCUGGUCGGCAUGGGAUGCGCCGACACAGCAGGAUCAGGUGGCAGCGGGGCCAGGAUCAGAGGCGACCAGGCCAUUGGAUGCCAGGACCGAGGAGGAUAUGGCGCGGACGGAUCAGACCAAGGAGAAGGCUGCAGAGGUGGAUAAGGACACGGGAGCGGACCCCAGUCCGGCUGAGGCAGGGCCUCUGCGGCCUGACCAGUCUGCGGAGGUGAUUGUAGGGGUGGGGUCGCUGCUUUCCGACCAAGCGGCGCCUGCUGCCACAGCGGAACCGGUGCGGCCCGUUGGGCUUGUGGUUGCGGCAGCAGCACCACAAGGCGGGGAGGAACCGGCACAGGAUAUCUCAGACGGGCCGGCGAUGCUGUCGGGAGGCUGGGCCCCGGUCACGGAACUGAUUGGCGACGCGGAUCUGGGGCUGCACCUACCCCCUCUCGGGCCAGGCUCCGCAUCAGAGCGCGUGCUGGGUGACCAGGCCCCACGGCCAACAGGAGAUGCAUGUGAUGGGACUACGUACGAGAGCCAUGCAGAUACGGCCGCUCGGCAUGGUGGAGAGAUUGUGCUGCAUGAGGAAGCACGGAACAUGGGUGCCACGGAGGAAAGCCUAUCGGGCAAGGAAAGGGCAGCGCUGGCAACAUCAAAUCCUUUUGUGCUGGGUUGCUCAAGAAGCUCCCCCCCCCCCGCGCUCCUGAAAGAGAUAGAAUGCGUGAUAGGGGUGCGUUCAGGCCAGGAUCCGUUCACACCUAGGCGGAACACAAGGUCUGUCUGCGCAUCUGGCGCGAGAAAGAACAGUGUCACAGCAGCCGAGUCGGUACUUCUCAAAGCUUUGGGCAUCAACAGUGAUGAUCUGGCGGUCUCUGAGGACGCGCUAGGUCAGCUGAGGGCGGUUUUCGACUCGCCUGUCCAAGAGAAACAGUUGAGGGCGAUCGCGGCUAUCUUCGGGAAGGUCAUGCCAUGUAACAUGGCUUGUGAGAUGGAGAGCACGGUGCUACUAUCGGUCUAGUCCGGAUGGGCUAGGGCAUCGGGAAUCACCACCUCUCCCAUGUCGCACGCAGCAAUGGAGGUAGCCUGUUGGAACGUUAGGGGGCUCAACAGCCCCGCUAAGAAAAAGGCGCUUAGGGAGUUCGUGGACACGGUGCGUGUUGUGAUCGUGUGUAUCUUGGAGUCUAAACUCGAAAGAGUCGACCAAUUUGUGAUUAUGCAAUGCUUAGGGCCAUCUUAUGAUGGCUUCUCUUAUCUUCCCGAUUCGGAGAUGAGAGGUGGUAUUAUAUUGGGAUGGGACUCAUCCAGAGUGAUGAUAUCGAACACGGUCCUUGAUACUAACUUCAUCACUGGUUAUGUGACACACUUGGAGGGACCGGGCUGGUGGCUAUCUGUGGUGUAUGGGCCACAGGAGGACGAGCAGAAGUGCUCUUUCCUGGAGGAGCUUGCGGAGAGGAGAACCAUGUGCCCGGGACCAUGGCUGGCGAUAGGAGAUUUCAACAUGAUUCUCUACGCAUCUGACAAGAGCAACAGCCGAUUGGAUCGCAGAAUGAUGGGCAAAUUCAAGCGGUUUGUUGACGACAAUAGCCUCAAGGAGCUCUUCUUGCAUGGUCGGAGUUUUACGUGGAGCAACAAGCGCGAGGUGCCCACUCUCACUAAAAUUGAUAGAGCUUUUGUUUCAGUGGACUGGGAGCUAGAUCACCCUGAUUGUCUACUACAAGCUCUGUCCACAUCGACCUCCGAUCACCGCCCAUUGUUCCUAACGCUGGAAGAACACAUGCGAUCACAGAAGCGCUUCAGAUUUGAGCUUUUUUGGGUCAAACUUGACGGAUUCUUGGACGCGGUAAAGGAAGCUUGGGUAUGCGAGGACGAGAUCUUGGAUCCCUUCCACAGGUUAGACAUACUGUUGCGUAAUACGGCGAAAUUCCUCACAGCUUGGGGUUAGCGGAAGGUGGGCAAUAUCAAGCUUCAGAUUGCAUGCGCGAACUUGGUCAUCCUGCGACUUGACUGUGCACAGGAGACUCGGACUCUCACGGAGGGGGAGAGGUGGCUGCGGGCUACCCUAAAGCAUGCGGUGCUGGGUUUAGCAUCCUUGGAGAGAACAAUUGCUAGGCAAAGAUCGCGCGUCAAGUGGCUUCAAGAAGGAGACGCGAACACGAAGCUGUUCCACUUGAUCGCAAACGGAAGGAAAGCUAAAAACUUUAUCCCCGCGCUACAGAAGGAUGGAAUCAUGAUCACGGACCAGAAGGGGAAAGAGGAGGCCUUCUUCGAGACGUUCUCUGAGAUCAUGGGUAGGGGCUCGGCGCGCGAGCACAUACUGGACUUGGAGUUCCUAAACAUUGAGGCGUUGGACCUAUCGGAGCAGGACUUGAUUUUUGAGGAGGAGGAAGUUUGGAAGGUUAUCAAGGAAAUGCCUUCGGACAGAGCUCCCGGACCGGACGGAUUCAUUGGGAUCUUUUUCCAAACGGCAUGGAGCGUGGUGAAGGGUGAUAUUAUGGCUGCAUUGCACAAGAUAUUCCUGGAUAAUGGCCGCGGCUUUGGCAGAUUGAACCAAGCCUUGAUCUCGCUUAUCCCGAAGACGCCAGAGGCAUGCACGGUCAAGGAUUUUCGCCCCAUCUGUUUGGUACACAACAUUCCUAAGCUUGCUUCCAAACUCCUUGCCAACAGAUUGUGACGAUGAAUGCCUAAGCUGGUUCAUGCCAACCAAUCUGCUUUCGUCAAGGGCCGUAGUAUCCACGAUAACUUCCUUCUGGUCAGACAAAUGGCAAGAUGGCUGCAUAAAAGGAAGGUAAAAGGAGUGAUGCUGAAACUUGACAUAUCUAAGGCGUUUGAUUCGCUUUCCUGGCCGUUCCUCUUUGAAGUGUUGCGGGCAAAGGGAUUUUCAGACAGAUGGUUGUGCUCUAUCGCAACCCUCCUGUAUACUGCCAGCUCCCGAAUCGUGGUGAAUGGAUCUGCUGGAAACAAGUUUAGGCACGCUUGUGGGUUAAGGCAAGGUGAAUCCCUCUCACCUCUGCUUUUCGUCAUUGCUAUGGAUGUGUUGAGAGCGAUCAUUGUCAAGGCGCAUCAUUCACAGUUAUUGGGGAAGUUUAACGGGUGUGGACCGCUGCAAAGGCUGUCCCUGUAUGCCGACGACGUGGUGCUAUUCAUCAAACCAACACUUGCAGACCUGUCCUUUGUUGUGGAAGCACUGAGGAUAUUUGGAGAAGCAUCCGGGCUCAAAGUAAACUUCGCCAAGUCAUCAGCCAUCCUCAUUAGGAGCAACGAAGACGACGAGAUCUUGGUUCGGAGCAUGGUGCCAUGGCAGAUCGCCAAUUUCCCGUGAUACUUAGGGCUGCAACUAAGCAUUAAACAUCUGACAAGAUCAGACUGGCAACCUAUUGUGGACACAGCUCUAAAGAUUCUACUGGGAUGGCAGAGAGGGCUGGUGACCCGUCCGGGCCGGCUGAUCCUCGUGAACCAAGUGAUGCGUGCGAGACCCACACACCACCUGCUUGUGGCUGAGGCACCAAAGCGGGCACUGGAUAAGGUGGACAGUGGAUGCCGUGCGUUUUUCUGGGCCGACUCCGAUCAUAUUCAUGGAGGAAAGUGCGCGGUGGCGUGGCAGAGGGUGUGCAGGCCGAAACAUAUGGGUGGGUUGGGAGUGAUUGAUCUUCACCGCCAUGGCAUUGCUCUCAGGAUGAGAUGGGAAUGGCUCAAGAGAUAUGAUGACAGUAAACCGUGGCAAGGCCUUAAUUCUUUCGUGGACAAGGAUGUAUGCCUAGCCUUCUCGAGCAUGGUCCAUUGGCAGGUAGGCGAUGGCACUAAGGCUCUGUUCUGGAAGGACAGAUGGGUGAGGGGAUCGACGGUGAGCGAGCUGGCGCCCAUGCUUGUGGCCAAAGUGAAAACCCAGGUGCUCAACAGACGAUCGGUCAAGGACGGCCUACUUUUGCACAAUUGGAUGAACGAUAUCAGGGGAGAACUGGAUACAGACGGGCUCACCCAGCUCAUUAGGCUUUGCGAGGUCAUUAUGAACUUUGAACUGCGCACGGGAGAGGAGGACAGAAUGAUAUGGAGGUGGAACGAUGCGGGCACUUACUCGGCCGCUUCGGCGUAUGCGAUGAUGUGUGAGGGAGGGGUGCAAUUCCAGCUUGCAGGCGCGAUAUGGAAAAGCGGGGCACCUCUCUCAUACAAGCUAUUUAUGUGGUUGGCCGUCCAAUAUAGGAUCUGGACGUCGGAUAGGCGAGUUCGACACGGUUUGCAGGAUACGAUAUCUGCAUGCUUCUUGUGUGAUCAGGAGCAGGACACGGUGGAUCACAUACUUGCACAAUGCGUCUAUGCCAGACAGGUCUGGUUCGAAUGUUUUUCCAAGGUCGGGAUACCUCUGCAGCUGAUACCCGAGGGGCAUGAAAAGAUGGAAGUGUGGUGGGUGGCUUCGAGGGAGAGGAUGCCCAAGACACACCGAAAGGACUUCGACUCUUUUGUCAUGUUGAUUUGCUGGAGUAUAUGAAAGCAACGGAAUGGUAGAGUUUUUGGUAGGAAUAACCUGUGUAAUGAGCAAGAACUGGUCGGGAAUAUUUUCAGGGAGCGCCACCUGUGGGCUCUAGCUAGAGGGAGUGGAGUUCUACAAUUUUGUGAGUAGUAGCCUAGGAGGGUUUUCAGGAGAUGGCAGGCACGUCGUGGGUGAUGCCUGCAGCCAUGUAAAUCUUGUACAUAUUGUUUCUCCCCUUCUAUAAAGCUAAGGCACGCCUUUCGCGUGCUUUCGAAAAAAAAGACUUUGACAGGUUCAUAUUUUGCAAAAAUUGUGACGGCCAUGAGCACACCUGCCUUAUCGAGUAGUAAUAUAUUUCGUACUCCCUCAAUAUUAGUUUAAAAACCGCGACACUUAUUUUAGAUCGAAGGAGUAGUGUUAAUCAUUUGGACAUGCUAGCAUGGGUGAUUACCAGGGAUGAAUGAGAUUCUAGGAGACCACUUGCAAGCAACAUACUACAAUGCAAGUUGUCAUACUUGCACAAAAUAAUAAUAGUGAUAUUUAUUUUUUACUUUCUAUGGUUAAUUCACGAUCGACCUCGUGGUUGCAUGCGCUCGGUCAAUUCCGACCACCUACUUUUGGGCAUUAUUAGAUGACAUAUUAUUGGAAAUCCUCCUAGGUGGCUGGCUACAUCAAGAGGUCGAGCUAGCAAACCGCACAGACCAAAAAACGUGAGCGGAUCAUUCGGUGGCCCCUAUAGUGACUUCUUCAUAAGUGAAUCGUGUGUUAUCCUCUAGGACUCAGGGCUUAGAGGGAAGGUCGGGAUGGUGGCAGACCGAACUUGGAGGCGUCUUGAGCAGGACACGCGGCAGAGCUGUGAUGUGACAAUGUCAGCCGAGGGAGGUGGAAGAUAAACGGUUGGGCUAGAGCGGGUUGAUGGUUCGAGGUGCUGCCAUCGGAGGCGGGGAAGAGGCAGAGAUUGCUGGUGGGGGUGCUUUAACGGUUGUGGCAUAAUCGUGGUCUCCGUGGCAACGGCGAUGGUUCCUAAUGGCAAAAUUCGGACACAGAUUUUCAUUUUUACAAUCCAAAAGCAGGUGGUCAGAAUUUAGCCUCGCACAUACUACUAUUUCUCCUUUUUUAUCUCUUCUUGUGUGUUUUUAUCUUUGUGAAGACAUAUAAAAAUUGAGAAAGGAUCCAUCAAUAGUGGGUCCACCUCGUGCGGAAAACAAGGAGAGGCGAUUGCAUGGCGAUCGUCUCGAGAGCUAGGGUUAGGGUUUUUCACACGGUGGUGGUGGGAUUCCGGUAGUGCGUGUAGGGACGACGGCGUCCUCCAGCGUGCGGACCGGCGUGCAUCUGCUCUCCCGUGGUGGUGCCAUGGCGGAGAGGAUGAGGAACGGAGCGGUGGCGGCGCAGGAGGCGGCGAGGGCUGAGAAGGUGGCGGCAACGCGCGAGGGCUGAGAAGGCGGCGGCAACACCGAGACCGUCGACACAAAAGGCGCAAGGGGCUUCCCCGAUGAAGACGCCACUGGGCGGAACGAGCAAGUUAUCUUCGCAGUCCCCUGCAGAUGGCAAGGGGUCGGCGGAGGCGGCGGGUCUGACGGCGCGAUUGGGCGGGCUGAUCUUGACAGAGAAGGAGGCCACGGGGUUUGUCUUCAAGGAUUCUGCGCAGGAACAGCCAAGGGCUGCAAGGUGGUCUGCAAUCGGAAAGGCGUUCACGCCAAGGAUGAUGAACCACCGUGCGCUAGAGAAGUCGAUGCCGAGAGCGUGCAACCUUCACCGGGAGGCUCAGUUUAAGAUCAUUGGUAGAAAUAUGUUUAUGGUCAACUUCGGCAGCAAAGGUGACUGGAAACAUGCUCUAAACAAUGGCCCUUGGCAGUUUGACUUCAAUGUGUUGGUUCUUAAGGACUAUGAUGGUGCAACUAGGCCAUUGGAGAUGAUUUUCGACUCAAUAGAGGCUUGGGUCAGAGUUGCAGAUCUCCCACUGGAUAAACGCUUGAAGGCUUUCGGUGAAGCACUUGGUAACUGGCUGGGUGAAGUAAUCCGUGUGGAUGUAGAGAAAGAUGGUUUUGCAAAGGGUACAGAGCUGAGCUUCAGGGCUAAACUCUCAAUUUUUGAACCUUUGGUGAGAGGAUUUUAUCUCAAAAAUCAGAAGAGGACCUAGAACAAACAUGGUUUGAUUUCACCUAUGAAAAGAUUCCGCACUUUUUGCUUCGAGUGCGGAUGUCUGGUACAUGGCAUAGAAGGAUGCAUUCCUCCUAUGAAGUCGGAUGAUCAGUGGGGUGAAUGGCUUAGAGCCUCAUCAGGCCAGGCUGUAUCUAUGAAAGAGGGAUCUUUUAGGGGACCAUCUGGAAGCGCUAACAGACAAGGAAGUGUUAGAUUAAACGAUGCUGAUAUAGGAAGGAGGAAGACUGGUUCGGUUCGCGAUGCUCCGACUAAACGUAAUUUGUAUCAAGAGUUUAAAAAUCCGGAGGCCACCCGCACUGGGGGGGGGGGGGGGGGGAGGGAUCAUGGAGAAGUAUCAAGCCCCAACAAACAGCGGCACAGGUUGGUUGAGUCUAGGGGCAAGGAUCUUAGAGAGGGGCUGGAACAGAAGAGAGAAAAAGACAUGCGCAAUGAACUCAGACAGAGACAACUAAACAUGCAGGCGGAGUUACGAGCUAACUACCAGCAAUAUAGCUCUUGGGAUCAUACUGGAGAUGGCAUGUGAAACCGGUAUAGAGAAAAGGAACGCAGAAAGGGCCACUAUGUGAGGAAGCCGAGACCGGGAUACGAGGAAUGUCGCUCUCCUAGGAGCCCAAGACACGAUUAUACAUGGGAAAGGAAGAGGAGGUCGAAGCAGCAAUGGGUAGCUAAAGGUGACUCUGACAGGUUUGCUAGUAAUGAUACCUUCAUUCGCGACAAAGGCAGAAAGUGUCUUUGGGGUUUAACCGUAUCUCCGAGCAUGAUGAAACAUCAGCGGACCUCACGGCGCGGGGCCGACGGGCACAAUGAAUAUCUUGGCUUGGAACUGUCGAGGACUGGGGUUGGACUCGACAGUGGGCGAACUACGGGACCUGAUACGGUCAUACAACCCAGCAGUGGUGUUUCUAAGUGAAACAAAAAAGAAAGACAUGGCGAUGGAGAAAAUCAAGUGGAGUUUGGGGUUCAGACCGGGGGUGGCGGUAAACUAUAAUGGGAAAAGUGGUGGUUUGGCCCUUUGGUGGAGGGAUACUAUGCAAGUAAAGGUUAGACCUUGGUGCCAAUAUUUUGUGGAUGCUGAAGUGGUCUGGGAAGGGAAAACCUGUAGAUUCACUGGUUUCUAUGGGGAGCCCAAUACCGAGUUGCGCAAGAAAUCAUGGGAUGCGAUACGUUACCUGCAAGCACAGGACAAUUUGCCGUGGCUGUGUGCGGGCGACUUCAAUGAAGCUCUGUUUCAGACCGAUCAACUAGGAGGCAACAGAGAAGUUCUGCAUAGAGGGAAGAUUUUAGAGAAUGCUUGGCCAACUGUGGCCUAGUUGAUCUGGGGUUCUCAGGCUACCCUUACACGUGGGACAACAAGAGGGAUGCGGAGAAUAACACACAAGUUCGUUUGGAUAGAGCCACUUGCGAUGAAGCUUUUCUCGAUCUCUUUCCGGAGACUACAGUUGAGCAUGUGAUGACCGAAGAGUCUAACCAUCAGGCUCUUGUGAUUAGGGCGAUGCAGACGGCUCCACGCCAGAAAUAGCGGGGAGACAUCCCUUUUCGGUUCGAGGAAGCAUGGACUAGAAAUGAACAAUACGACCAGAUGGUAGCUGAUGCAUGGCAAGCCUCGGACGUAGGAGACCAUGGAAUACGUGCAUGCAUGCAAAGGCUUGUGUCUCGGGCGGCAUGCAAUGGUGGGCAAGAGAAGUCUUCGGAUCCAUCAGGCGUCAGAUAUCCAAGUUAAAUAACCAGCUGGUGGAUGCGAAGAAAAGGGCUGUGGUCACGGGUUCCUCGCUGGAGGCCCGUGAGAUUGAAGAACAGCUGCGAGAAAUAUAUACCAGAGAAGAAAUUUUAUAUAAGCAGCGUUCACAAGUAGACUGGUUGAAGGCGGGGGAGCAAAACACCAAGUAUUUUUUAAAAUAGGGCCUCGCAUAGGAAGAGGAAGAAUACAGUCCGAGCGCUCAAGCGAGAGGAUGGUACAAAGUGCACGGUGGAUGAAGAAAUGAGGUAGAUGGUUGUGGCCUUUUAUGAACAACUAUUCACUUCAGAGGGGUCAGCUGGAGUUAAUGAGCUGCUGGGCAACAUAGUACCUUCCGUUACAACGCAAAUGAACGAGAGACUAACAAUAGCGAUUACAGACGAUGAAAUUGAAAGGGAUUUGUUUCAAAUGGGACCUACUAAGGCGUCGGGGCUAGAUGGAUUACCUGCACUUUUUUUACCAAAGACACUGGUCUCUGGUAAAGGAUGAUGUGUGCAGGGCUAUUAAGGGUUUCUUAUACGGGGAGGCAACUCCUGAGGCUUUUAAUGAGACGUUCAUUGUUAUGAUUCCUAAAGUUAACUCACGGGAGUUGCUUACACAAUUCAGACCGAUCAGCCUGUGUAAUGUUCUUUAUAAAAUUGCCACGAAGGUCUUGGCGAAUAGGUUAAAGUGUUUUCUUCCUGUCCUUAUUUCCGAGGAACAAAGUGCUUUUGUACCCGGUCGUUUAAUCACUGACAAUGUCCUUGUGGCAUAUGAGUGUGUGAAUGCUAUUUGUAAUAGGAAGAGGAAGAAGCACUUGUGCGCGGUCAAGCUAGAUAUGACGAAGGCCUACGAUAGGAUCGAGUGGACUUUCCUGCAAAAGAUGCUGGCGCGAGUGGGGUUCGCUACAUAAUGGAUUUCCAUGAUCAUGCGUUGUGUGACUACAACAAGGUUCUCAGUAAAGCUAAAUGGAGGCCUUUCUAGAGGCUUCAUUCCAUCCCGCGAACUAAGGCAGGGGGACCCAUUAUCGCCGUACCUUUUUCUGUUCUGUGUUGAGGGCUUUUCUGCUCUGUUAAGGAAGGCACAAGAGAAAAAGUGGAUCAAGGGAGUUUCUUUCGGGAGCACUGGUCCCCAUGUUACACACCUCCUGUUUGCAGACGAUAGUAUUGUUGUCGUUGAGGGAUCCACUGAAACAUGCUGGCCUUGAAAGAGAUUCUUAGGAAAUAUGAGGAAGCAUCUGGGCGACGUGUUAAUCUGCAGAAGUUGGCAAUAUUCUUUGGCAAAGGGAGUCAAGAGAAUGCAAAGGUACAACUAAAAAAUAUCUUGGGUGUGGACAAUGAAGCACUCAGCAAAAGAUAUUUGGGCCUCCCAACACUGGUUGGUAGGUCCAAAGAAGGGACUUUCAAAUAUGUUACUGAGUGUUCGAAAGUAAAAGUUAAUGGUUUGAAGGGUCAAGGACUUUCUAAGGCUAUGCGAGAUGUACUUGUCAAAUCUGUCCUCCAAACCACACCUACUUACACCAUGAGUUGUUUUCAUCUCACAAAGAAAAUGUGCCGGAACCUGUCGUGGAACUGUCACGUCAGAUGUCCUCGUGAAAGGACUUAGUUGUGGAGCCAUCGCAACUAGGAAGCUUGAAGGGGUUAAAUCGGGACAAAGGACACGAGAGGGUUUAUACUAAUUCGGCCCCUUACGGUGAAGGUAAGGCCUACGUCUAGUUGGGUUGGUAUUGAUGUUUCGAUGACCAGGGAGCGAGACACGCUAUGCCUGGUUCUCGAUGAGUUGUUUUCUUCUCCUAAGCCGCCAGCCGGUCGUCCCCUUAUAUACAUGGGUGGACGCCCUGCGGCUUACAGAGUCCCGGCCGGCUCAUAAACAAUGUCCGGCUCGGUGACUAGUUAAGUCUACCUUAUGAUACAAGUAAUAUCCUUACAGCGGUUUACUACAACGGGCCUUAAGUCGCCAGUGGGCCUUAAGUCCAUCUUGAACCGCUAUCUUCAUGCUUGGCCUUGGGCUUCUCUCUGAUGAGGAUCUUUGCGUAACCCGACCCCUCUUGGGCGGCUUACACAAAUAGCUAUAUUCCCAACAUUAGGCCCCAGAUUGAUUUGAACCUGUUCAUGUCAAUCUAAAAAAUAUUUUUAAAGAAUUAAAUCUUCAGCCUUCUUGACUAUACGAAGGGUUUCUUUAACCCGCCAUGACGUCAUCUUCUGGAUCCGUGUUAACCCGGCGUGACAUCAUCCUUUCUUUAAUUCAUUUUUUAUUCCGUCGAAUCUUUCAACAGAUCUCUAUCUUUACUGACCAUCCCGAGAAUCGAGGCGCCAGAGCCGCUGGAUAAUAAAUGUUAUCUCCUUGUUUUUCGUGCCCUCUUGGUCAAUCUUCUCUUAUAAAUAGGGCGACCUAGGUCUUGUCCCCAGUCGUCUUCUUCUUCUCCUCUCUGCCACUCGAGCUCCGCUGCUGUCGCCGUCGACUCCCUUGUCUUCAUCGACUAAGGCCGCUACAUCGACCUGACCUUGACCAGAGAUCGACGGCAAACCUCCGUAGUGUCUCCUCAUCUGUGAGUUCUUCCUCCUUGCUCCUCAGAUCCGCAUUAGGGCCUUCGAGUUCUUCGUGUUCUUCGUUGCUCAUUAGGAACCCCUCGUAGAUCUGCUCACUACCGUCGUUUUGAUCUUUAAAAACGGUAGAAACCUGAUGCGGUAGCUGUAUCGCACCCACUUUGAUUGCAAGUAGGUCCCUUUCUGUCGCACCGAAGCUUUGUUUGAGCCCUUGAACUUCAUCUGUGCCAGUUCUAGGUCUAGAAGAUUUUCUUUUUAGAACAGCUAUUUGAUCCAAAAUAAUAACAGCAACUUUGUAAAACCUGUUUGUGUCACCCGGAAGUAAAAAACUGCCUCAGCCGAAUAUGUUUAACUGCUCUUUGACACCUGUAGUGGCUUAAUAUUUAUUGCACAAUCACCCUUAUAUCAUUAGGCCCCUUUCUUUAAGCCGCCACCUUGAAUAAUUUUAAAUAUUUCUCCCGGGUUAAAGUUGAACCGGAGCUUUUUAUUGUGUCGUAGGCCACUGUCGUCAUGGCUCCUAAGGCGGCCAAAGCCCCUGUGACUUGCAAUUGGGUUCCAUCCACAGUGACAAAAAGCAAACUUGCCGAGUUUGUGAAGUCCGGCCAUCUGCCAAAGAGGGAGGUCAUGUCUUACCGUGCCCCUAACCCAUCUGAGGAAGUACCUCAACCCAAAGACGGGGAGGUAGUAGUUUUUAUGGAUCACAUGAGCCGGGGAUUUGCUCCUCCCAGUUCAAAAUUCUUCUGGGAGGUUUUGAAUUUCUUUGAUCUCAGACCUCAAGACAUCGGACCCAACUCCGUGUCAAAUAUUUGCAAUUUCCAAGUCUUCUGCGAGGUGUACCUGGGACAAGAGCCAAGUCUCCUAUUGUUUAGGGAACUUUUCUACAUGAACCGACAAAAUGAACGUGCCAACGGGCCGAGUCUUGAGCUUGGCGGCAUCUCAAUCCAGCAACGGAGAGAUUGCCUUUUUCCUUAUACUGAGCUGUCGAGUCACCCCAAGUCUUGGAACCAAACGUGGUUCUAUUGUCAAGAUACCUCACCGGUUGAUGAGAAGCCCCUGCCCGGCUUUCGCGCCCUGCGCCUCGAAUCUAAUCAUCCGUUGGCAGAUAAGUUAUCCACUGUUGAGCGCCUGCCCCUCAACCCCACCAUUAGGAAGAUCAAAGCUCUUCUUGGGAACGGGUUAAAUGGUAUCAAUCUGGUUUGAGUCUGGGUCACCUGGCGGAUAUUACCAUUAAGCCGCCGCUCCGGCUUAAUGUGCACCUAUCCAGGCGAAAAGGAUGACCCAAUGCGUCAAAGUCCUGAUGAUCUCCCAGAUGAUGUUAUAGAUGCUACAGUCCAAUCUUUGUUGAAGGAGGGUACUGUGACCAGUAAUGCCUUCGGCUUACUGCCCUUCUGCAAGAAGAACCCGGCCCCUACGGUAAGUUAUCAAUCUUCAAGAAUACCUUUUAACAUAUUAUGCCUUCUUGUAUUUAUGAUUCCUCAUCUUUUUCCACAGGCCGAUGACAAUUUCUGGAAGGUCAAGUAUGACCACGAGGCCGCCAAGCAAGCCAGGGCAGCCAAGAAAACUGAAAGAAAAACUGCCAAGACGGGAACCUCAAGGAAGAAGAAACCCAGUGCUUCUGACUUGCUCAAAUUGGAUGAUACUUCUUGGUCUAAUGAAGAGGUAAUUCUUUAAUUUUCUUAACUCCCCUGUUGCUAUUUUAUUGACAUUCUUGUUGGAAAUAUUCCCUAGAGGCAAUAAUAAAAGUAUUAUUAUAUUUCAUUGUUCAUGAUAAUUGUCUUUUAUUCAUGCUAUAACUGUAUUAUCCGGAAAUCGUAAUACACGUGUGAAUACUUAGACCACACUAUGUCCCUGGUAAGCCUCUAGUUGACCAGCUCGUUGUGAUCAACAGAUAGUCAUGGUUUCCUGACUAUGGACAUUGGAUGUCGUUGAUAACGGGAUCACAUCAUUAGGAGAAUGAUGUGAUGGACAAGACCCAAUCCUAAGCAUAGCAUAAAAGAUCGUGUAGUUCGUUUUGCUAGAGCUUUGCAAGUGUCAAGUAUCUCUUCCUUCGACCAUGAGAUCGUGUAACUCCCGGAUACCAUAAGAGUGCCUUGGGUGUAUCAAACGUCACAACGUAACUGGGUGACUAUAAAGGUGCAUUACAGGUAUCUCCGAAAGUAGCUGUUGGGUUGACACGGAUCGGGACUGGGAUUUGUCACUCCGUAUGACGGAGAGGUAUCUCUGGGCCCACUCGGUAAUGCAUCAUCAUAAUGAGCUCAAUGUGACCAAGGUGUUGGACACGGGAUCAUGCAUUACGGUACGAGUAAAGUGACUUGCCGGUAACGAGACUGGACAAGGUAUUGGGAUACCGACGAUCGAGUCUCGGGCAAGUAACGUACCGAUUGACAAAGGGAAUUGCAUACAGGGUUUGAUUGAAUCCUCGACAUAGUGGUUCAUCCGAUGACAACAUCGAGGAGCAUGUGGGAGCCAUCAUGGGUAUCCAGAUCCCGCUGAUGGUUAUUGACUGAGAGCGUCUCGGUCAUGUCUGCAUGUCUCCCGAACCCGUAGGGUCUACACACUUAAGGUUCGGUGACGCUAGGGUUAUGAAGAUAUGUAUAUGCAGAAACCCGAAUGUUGUUCGGAGUCCCGGAUGAGAUCCCGGACGUCACGAGGAGUUCCGGAAUGGUCCGGAGGUAAAGAAUUAUAUAUAGGAAGUGCUGUUUCGGGCAUCGGGACAAGUUUCGGGGUUAUCGGUAUUGUACCGGGACCACCGGAAGGGUCCCGGGGGUCCACCGGGUGGGGCCACCUGUCCCGGGGGGCCACAUGGGCUGUAGGGGGUGCGCCUUGGCCAUCAUGGGCCAAGGGCACCAGCCCCUAUAGGCCCAUGCGCCUAGGGUUUCCCCCUAGGAGGAGUCCUAGUGGUGGAAGGCACCCCUAGGUGCCUUGGGGGGGAGGGAAACCUCCCCUAGGCCGCCGCCCCCCCUAGUAGAUCUCAUCUACUAGGGCCGGCGCCCCCCCUUGGCACCCCUAUAUAUAGUGGGGGAGAGGAGGGACUUCAUACACCGGCCCCUGGCGCCUCCACCUCCCCCCGUUACGUCUCUCCCUCGUAGUCUCGGCGAAGCCCUGCUGCUGUGACGCCCUGCAUCCACCACCACGCCGUCGUGCUGCUGGAUCUUCAUCAACCUCUCCUUCCCCCUUGCUGGAUCAAGAAGGAGGAGACGUCUCCCGUCCCGUACGUGUGUUGAACGCGGAGGUGCCGUCCGUUCGGCGCUGGUCAUCGGUGAUUUGGAUCACGUCGAGUACGACUACAUCAUCACCUUGCAAGCUUCCGCACGCGAUCUACAAGUGGUAUGUAGAUGCAAACUCUCUCCCUAGACUCGUUGCUUAGAUGAACUCAUAGAUGGAUCUUGGUGAAACCGUAGGAAAAAAUUUAAUUUUCUGCAACGUUCCCCAACAGUGGCAUCAUGAGCUAGGUCUAUGCGUAGUUCUCUAUGCACGAGUAGAACACAACUUUGUUGUGGGCGUGGAUUUUGUCAUCUUACUUGCCUCUACUAGUCUUUUCUUGCUCAACGGUAUUGUGGGAUGAAGCGGCCCGGACCAACCUUACACGUACACUUACGUGAGACCGGUUCCACCGACUGACAUGCACAAGUUGCAUAAGGUGGCUGGCGGGUGUCUGUCUCUCCCACCUUAGUUGGAGCGGAAUCAAUGAACAGGGCCCUUAUGAAGGGUAAAUAGAAGUUGACAAAAUCACGUUGUGGUGAUUCGUAGGUAAGAAAACGUUCUUGCUAGAACCCAAUUGCAGCCACGUAAAAGAUGCAACAACAAUUAGAGGACGUCUAACUUGUUUUUGCAGCGAUUGAUCAUGUGAUGUGAUAUGGCCAGAAGUUGUGAUGAAUGAUGAAUUGUGAUGUAUGAGAUCAUGUUCUUUGUAAUAGGAUUCACGACUUGCAUGUCGAUGAGUAUGACAACCGGCAGGAGCCAUAGGAGUUGUCAUUAUUUUUUUGUAUGACCUGCGUGUCAUUGAAUAAACGUCAUGUAAACUACUUUACUUUAUUGCUAAACGUUAGUCAUAGAAGUAGAAGUAGUCGUUGGCGUGACAACUUCAUGAAGACACGAUGAUGGAGAUCAUGAUGAUGGAGAUCAUGGUGUCAAGCCGGUGACAAGAUGAUCAUGGAGCCCCGAAGAUGAAGAUCAAUGGAGCUAUAUGAUAUUGGCCAUAUCAUGUCACAACUAUAUAAUUGCAUGUGAUGUUUAUUAUGUAUUAUGCAUCUUGUUUACUUAGGACGACGGUAGUAAAUAAGAUGAUCCCUUAUAAAAUUUCAAGAAGUGUUCUCCCCUAACUGUGCACCGUUGCUACAGUUCGUCGUUUCUAAGCACCACGUGAUGAUCGGGUGUGAUGGAUUCUUACGUUCACAUACAACGGGUGUAAGACAGUUUUACACAGCGAAAACACUUAGGGUUUACUUGACGAGCCUAGCAUGUGCAGACAUGGCCUCAGAACAUGGAGACCGAAAGGUCGAACACGAGUCGUAUGGAAGAUACGAUCAACAUGAAAAUGUUCACCGACGAUGACUAGUCCGUCUCACGUGAUGAUCGGACAUGGGCUAGUCGACUCGGAUCGUGUAACACUUAGAUGACUAAAGGGAUGUCUAAUCUAAGUGUGAGUUCAUAAUUUGAUUAGAACUUUAUUAUCAUGAACUUAGUCUAAAACCUUUGCAAAUAUGUCUUGUAGAUCAAUGGCCAACGCUAAUGUCAACAUGAACUUCAACGCGUUCCUAGAGAAAACCAAGCUGAAAGAUGAUGGCAGCAACUAUACGGACUGGGUCCGGAACUUGAGGAUCAUCCUCAUAGCUGCCAGGAAACAAUAUGUCCUAGAAGGACCGCUAGGUGACGCUCCCGUCCCAGAGAACCAAGACAUUAUGAAUGCUUGGCAGUCUCGCGCUGAUGAUUACUCCCUCGUUCAGUGCGGCAUGCUUUACAGCUUAGAACCGGGGCUCCAAAAGCGUUUUGAGCAUCACGGAGCAUAUGAGAUGUUCGAAGAGCUGAAACUAGUUUUCCAAGCUCAUGCCCGGGUCGAGAGAUAUGAUGUCUCCGACAAGUUCUACAGUUGUAAGAUGGAGGAGAACAGUUCUGUCAGUGAGCACAUCCUGAAGAUGUCUGGGUUGCACAACCGUAUGACCCAGCUGAACAUUAACCUCCCAGAUGAGGCGGUCAUUGACAGAAUCCUCCAGUCGCUCCCACCAAGCUACAAGAGCUUUGUGAUGAACUACAACAUGCAGGGAAUGGAAAAGACCAUUCCUGAAGUGUUCUCGAUGCUGAAGUCAGCAGAGGCUGAAAUCAAGAAAGAACAUCAAGUGUUGAUGGUCAAUAAGACCACUAAGUUCAAGAAGGGCAAGGGUAAGAAGAACUUCAAGAAGGACGGCAAAGAUGUUGCCGCGCUUGGUAAGCCAGUUACCGGGAAGAAGUCAAAGAAUGGACCCAAGCCUGAGACUGAGUGCUUUUAUUGCAAGGGGAAGGGUCACUGGAAGCGGAACUGCCCCAAAUACUUAGCGGAUAAGAAGGCCGGCAACACCAAAGGUAUAUUUGAUAUACAUGUGAUUGAUGUGUACCUUACCAGUACUCGUAGUAACUCCUGGGUAUUUGAUACCGGUGCCGUUGCUCAUAUUUGUAACUCACAACAGGAGCUGCGGAAUAAACGGAGACUGGCGAAGGACGAGGUGACGAUGCGCGUCGGGAAUGGUUCCAGAGUCGAUGUGAUCGCCGUCGGCACGCUGCCUCUACAUUUACCUACGGGAUUAGUUUUGAACCUUAAUAAUUGUUAUUUAGUGCCAAGUUUGAGCAUGAACAUUGUAUCAGGAUCUCGUUUAAUACGAGAUGGCUACUCAUUUAAGUCUGAGAAUAAUGGUUGUUCGAUUUAUAUGAGAGAUAUGUUUUAUGGUCAUGCGCCGAUGGUCAAUGGUUUAUUCUUAAUGAAUCUCGAACGUAAUAUUACACAUGUUCACAGUGUAGAUGCCAAAAGAUUUAAAGUUGAUAACGAUAGUCCCACAUACUUGUGGCACUGCCGCCUUGGUCACAUUGGUGUCAAGCGCAUGAAGAAGCUCCAUGCCGAUGGACUUUUAGAGUCUCUUGAUUAUGAAUCGUUUGACACGUGCGAACCAUGCCUCUUGGGCAAAAUGACCAAGACUCCGUUCUCCGGAACAAUGGAGCGAGCAACCAACUUGUUGGAAAUCAUACAUACCGAUGUGUGCGGUCCAAUGAGCGUUGAGGCUCGCGGAGGAUAUCGUUAUGUUCUCACUCUCACAGAUGACUUGAGUAGAUAUGGGUAUGUCUACUUAAUGAAACACAAGUCUGAGACCUUUGAAAAGUUCAAGGAAUUUCAGAAUGAGGUGGAGAAUCAACGUGACCGAAAGAUAAAAUUCUUACGAUCAGAUCGUGGAGGAGAAUACUUAAGUCACGAAUUUGGUACACACUUAAAGAAAUGUGGAAUCGUUUCACAGCUGACGCCGCCUGGAACACCUCAGCGAAACGGUGUGUCCGAACGUCGUAAUCGCACUCUAUUGGAUAUGGUGCGGUCUAUGAUGUCUCUUACCGAUUUACCGCUAUCAUUUUGGGGAUACGCUCUAGAGACAGCUACAUUCACUUUAAAUAGGGCACCGUCUAAAUCCGUUGAGACGACACCGUAUGAAUUAUGGUUUCGAAAGAAACCUAAGCUGUCGUUUCUAAAAGUUUGGGGAUGCGAAGCUUAUGUCAAGAAACUUCAACCUGAAAAGCUCGAACCCAAGUCGGAAAAAUGCGUAUUCAUAGGAUACCCUAAGGAAACUGUAGGGUAUACCUUCUACUUAAGAUCCGAAGGCAAGAUCUUUGUUGCCAAGAAUGGAUGCUUUCUGGAAAAAGAGUUUCUCUCGAAAGAAGUAAGUGGGAGGAAAGUAGAACUCGAUGAAGUACUACCUCUUGAGCGGGAUAGUGACGCAGCACAGGAAACCGUUCCUGUGAUGCCCACACCAACUGAAGAGGAAAACCAUGAUAAUGAUCAAGGUACUUCGGAUCAAGUUACUGCUGAACUUCGUAGGUCCACAAGGACACGUUCCGCACCAGAGUGGUGCGGCAAUCCUGUCCUGGAAAUCAUGUUGUUAGACAACAAUGAACCUUCGAACUAUGAAGAAGCAAUGGCGGGCCCGGAUUCCAACAAAUGGCUUGAAGCCAUGAAAUCCGAGAUAGAAUCCAUGUAUGAAAACAAAGUAUGGACUUUGACAGACUUGCCCGAUGAUCGGCGAGCGAUAGAAAACAAAUGGAUCUUUAAGAAGAAGACGGACGCGGAUGGUAAUGUUACCAUCUAUAAAGCUCGACUUGUCGCUAAGGGUUAUCGACAGGUUCAAGGGAUUGACUACGACGAGACAUUCUCUCCCGUAGCGAAACUAAAGUCCGUCCGAAUCAUGUUAGCAAUUGCCGCAUACUAUGAUUAUGAGAUAUGGCAGAUGGACGUCAAAACAGCAUUCCUUAACGGGCAUCUUAAGGAAGAACUGUAUAUGAUGCAGCCGGAAGGUUUUGUCGAUCCUCGGAACGCUAACAAAGUAUGCAAGCUCCAGCGAUCCAUUUAUGGACUGGUGCAAGCAUCUCGGAGUUGGAACAUUCGCUUUGAUGAGAUGAUCAAAGCGUUUGGGUUUAUGCAGACUUAUGGAGAAGCCUGCGUUUACAAGAAAGUGAGUGGGAGCUCUGUAGCAUUUCUCAUAUUAUAUGUAGAUGACAUACUCCUGAUGGGAAAUAAUAUAGAAUUUCUGGACAGCAUUAAGGCCUACUUGAAUAAGUGUUUUUCAAUGAAGGACCUUGGAGAAGCUGCUUAUAUAUUAGGCAUCAAGAUCUAUAGAGAUAGAUCGAGACGCCUCAUAGGUCUUUCACAAAGCACAUACCUUGAUAAGAUUUUGAAGAGAUUCAGAAUGGAUCAGUCCAACAAGGGGUUCUUGCCUAUGUUACAAGGUAUGAGACUGAGCUCAGCUCAGUCACCGACCACGGCAAAAGAUAAAGAAGAGAUGAGUGUCAUCCCCUAUGCUUCAGCCAUAGGAUCUAUUAUGUAUGCCAUGCUGUGUACCAGACCCGAUGUAAACCUUGCCGUAAGUUUGGUAGCUAGAUAUCAAAGUAAUCCCGGCAAGGAACACUGGACAGCGGUCAAGAAUAUCCUGAAGUACCUGAAAAGGACAAAGGACAUGUUUCUCGUUUAUGGAGGAGACGAAGAGCUCGUCGUAAAGGGUUACGUCGACGCUAGCUUCGACUCAGAUCUGGAUGACUCUAAGUCACAAACCGGAUACGUGUAUAUGUUGAAUGGUGGAGCAGUAAGCUGGUGCAGCUGCAAGCAGAGUGUCGUGGCGGGAUCUACGUGUGAAGCGGAGUACAUGGCAGCCUCGGAGGCAGCACAUGAAGCGAUUUGGGUGAAGGAGUUCAUCACCGACCUAGGAGUCAUACCCAAUGCGUCGGGGCCGAUCAAACUCUUCUGUGACAACACUGGAGCUAUUGCCCUCGCAAAGGAGCCCAGGUUUCACAAGAAGACCAGGCACAUCAAGCGUCGUUUCAACUCCAUCCGUGAAAAUGUUCAAGAUGGAGACAUAGAGAUUUGCAAAGUGCACACGGAUCUGAAUGUCGCAGAUCCGCUGACUAAACCUCUCUCGCAUGCAAAACAUGAUCAACACCAGAACUCUAUGGGUGUUCGAUUCAUCACAAUGUAACUAGAUUGGUGACUCUAGUGCAAGUGGGAGACUGUUGGAAAUAUGCCCUAGAGGCAAUAAUAAAAGUAUUAUUAUAUUUCAUUGUUCAUGAUAAUUGUCUUUUAUUCAUGCUAUAACUGUAUUAUCCGGAAAUCGUAAUACACGUGUGAAUACUUAGACCACACUAUGUCCCUGGUAAGCCUCUAGUUGACCAGCUCGUUGUGAUCAACAGAUAGUCAUGGUUUCCUGACUAUGGACAUUGGAUGUCGUUGAUAACGGGAUCACAUCAUUAGGAGAAUGAUGUGAUGGACAAGACCCAAUCCUAAGCAUAGCAUAAAAGAUCGUGUAGUUUGUUUUGCUAGAGCUUUGCAAGUGUCAAGUAUCUCUUCCUUCGACCAUGAGAUCGUGUAACUCCCGGAUACCGUAAGAGUGCCUUGGGUGUAUCAAACGUCACAACGUAACUGGGUGACUAUAAAGGUGCAUUACAGGUAUCUCCGAAAGUAGCUGUUGGGUUGACACGGAUCGAGACUGGGAUUUGUCACUCCGUAUGACGGAGAGGUAUCUCUGGGCCCACUCGGUAAUGCAUCAUCAUAAUGAGCUCAAUGUGACCAAGGUGUUGGACACGGGAUCAUGCAUUACGGUACGAGUAAAGUGACUUGCCGGUAACGAGACUGAACAAGGUAUUGGGAUACCGACGAUCGAGUCUCGGGCAAGUAACGUACCGAUUGACAAAGGGAAUUGCAUACAGGGUUUGAUCGAAUCCUCGACAUAGUGGUUCAUCCAAUGACAACAUCGAGGAGCAUGUGGGAUCCAUCAUGGGUAUCCAGAUCCCGCUGAUGGUUAUUGACUGAGAGCGUCUCGGUCAUGUCUGCAUGUCUCCCGAACCCGUAGGGUCUACACACUUAAGGUUCGGUGACGCUAGGGUUAUGAAGAUAUGUAUAUGCAGAAACCCGAAUGUUGUUCGGAGUCCUGGAUGAGAUCCCGGACGUCACGAGGAGUUCCGGAAUGGUCCGGAGGUAAAGAAUUAUAUAUAGGAAGUGCUGUUUCGGGCAUCGGGACAAGUUUCGGGGUUAUCGGUAUUGUACCGGGACCACCGGAAGGGUCCCGGGGGUCCACCGGGUGGGGACACCUGUCCCGGGGGGCCACAUGGGCUGUAGGGGGUGCGCCUUGGCCAUCAUGGGCCAAGGGCACCAGCCCCUAUAGGCCCAUGCGCCUAGGGUUUUGUUGGAAAUAUGCCCUAGAGGCAAUAAUAAAAGUAUUAUUAUAUUUCAUUGUUCAUGAUAAUUGUCUUUUAUUCAUGCUAUAACUGUAUUAUCCGGAAAUCGUAAUACACGUGUGAAUACUUAGACCACACAAUGUCCCUGGUAAGCCUCUAGUUGAUCAGCUUGUUGUGAUCAACAGAUAGUCAUGGUUUCCUGACUAUGGACAUUGGAUGUCGUUGAUAACGGGAUCACAUCAUUAGGAGAAUGAUGUGAUGGACAAGACCCAAUCCUAAGCAUAGCAUAAAAGAUCGUGUAGUUCGUUUUGCUAGAGCUUUGCAAGUGUCAAGUAUCUCUUCCUUCGACCAUGAGAUCGUGUAACUCCCGGAUACCGUAAGAGUACCUUGGGUGUACCAAACGUCACAACGUAACUGGGUGACUAUAAAGGUGCAUUACAGGUAUCUCCGAAAGUAGCUGUUGGGUUGACACGGAUCGAGAUUGGGAUUUGUCACUCCGUAUGACGGAGAGGUAUCUCUGGGCCCACUCGGUAAUGCAUCAUCAUAUUGAGCUCAAUGUGACCAAGGUGUUGGACACGGGAUCAUGCAUUACGGUACGAGUAAAGUGACUUGCCGGUAACGAGACUGAACAAGGUAUUGGGAUACCGACGAUCGAGUCUCGGGCAAGUAACGUACCGAUUGACAAAGGGAGUUGCAUACAAGGUUUGAUCGAAUCCUCGACAUAGUGGUUCAUCCGAUGACAACAUCGAGGAGCAUGUGGGAGCCAUCAUGGGUAUCCAGAUCCCAUUGAUGGUUAUUGACUGAGAGAGUCUCGGUCAUGUCUGCAUGUCUCCCGAACCCGUAGGGUCUACACACUUAAGGUUCAGUUACGCUAGGGUUAUAGGGAUAUGUAUAUGCAGUAACCCGAAUGUUGUUCGGAGUCCCGGAUGAGAUCCCGGACGUCACGAGGAGUUCCGGAAUGGUCCGGAGGUAAAGAUUUAUAUAUGGGAAGUCCUGUUUCGGGCAUCGGGACAAGUUUCGGGGUUAUCGGUAUUGUACCGGGACCACCGGAAGGGUCCCGGGGGUCCACCGGGUGGGUCCACCUGUCCCGGGGGGGCACAUGGGCUGUAAGGGGGUGCGCCUUGGCCUAAUGGGCCAAGGGCACCAGCCCCACAUAGGCCCAUGCGCCUAGGGUUUUAGGGGGCAAGAGUCCUAGGAGGGUAAGGCACCUCCUAGGUGCCUUGGGGGGAGGGAAAACCCCCCUUGGCCGCCGCACCCCAUAGGAGAUUGGAUCUCCUAGGGCCGGCCACCCCCCCUUGGCACCCCUAUAUAUAGUGGGGGAGAGGAGGGACUUCAUACCUGAACGCCCUGGCCUUUGGUUGCCUCCUUCUCCCUCCCCAACACCUCCUCCACCUCCAUAGUGCUUAGCGAAGCUCUGCCGGAGUACUGCAGCUCCAUCAACACCACGCCGUCGUGCUGCUGCUGGUGCCAUCUCCCUCAACCUCUCCUCCCUUCCUUGCUGGAUCAAGAAGGAGGAGACAUGGCUGUUCCGUACGUGUGUUGAACGCGGAGGUGCCGUCCGUUCGGCGCUGGUCAUCGGUGAUUUGGAUCACGUCGAGUACGACUACAUCAUCACCUUGCAAGCUUCCGCACGCGAUCUACAAGUGGUAUGUAGAUGCGAACGCUCUCCCUAGACUCGUUGCUUAGAUGAACUCAUAGAUGGAUCUUGGUGAAACCGUAGGAAAAAUUUUAAUUUUCUGCAAUGUUCCCCAACAGUGGCAUCAUGAGCUAGGUCUAUACGUAGUUCUCUUUGCACGAGUAGAACACAACUUUGUUGUGGGCGUGGAUUUUGUCAUCUUACUUGCCUCUACUAGUCUUUUCUUGCUCAAUGGUAUUGUGGGAUGAAGCGGCCCGGACCAACCUUACACGUACUCUUACGUGAGACCGGUUCCACCGACUGACAUGCACAAGUUGCAUAAGGUGGCUGGCGGGUGUCUGUCUCUCCCACCUUAGUUGGAGCGGAAUUGAUGAACAGGGCCCUUAUGAAGGGUAAAUAGAAGUUGACAAAAUCACGUUGUGGUGAUUCAUAGGUAAGAAAACGUUCUUGCUAGAACCCAAUUGCAGCCACGUAAAAGAUGCAACAACAAUUAGAGGACGUCUAACUUGUUUUUGCAGCGAUUGAUCAUGUGAUGUGAUAUGGCCAGAAGUUGUGAUGAAUGAUGAAUUGUGAUGUAUGAGAUCAUGUUCUUUGUAAUAGGAUUCACGACUUGCAUGUUGAUGAGUAUGACAACCGGCAGGAGCCAUAGGAGUUGUCAUUAUUUUUUUGUAUGACCUGCGUGUCAUUGAAUAACGUCAUGUAAACUACUUUACUUUAAUGCUAAACGUUAGUCAUAGAAGUAGAAGUAGUCGUUGGCGUGACAACUUCAUGAAGACACGAUGAUGGAGAUCAUGAUGAUGGAGAUCAUGGUGUCAAGCCGGUGACAAGAUGAUCAUGGAGCCCCGAAGAUGAAGAUCAAUGGAGCUAUAUGAUAUUGGCCAUAUCAUGUCACAACUAUAUAAUUGCAUGUGAUGUUUAUUAUGUAUUAUGCAUCUUGUUUACUUAGGACGAUGGUAGUAAAAAAAGAUGAUCCCUUAUAAAAAUUUCAAGAAGUGUUCCCCCCUAACUGUGCACCGUUGCUACAGUUCGUCGUUUCUAAGCACCACGUGAUGAUCGGGUGUGAUGGAUUCUUACGUUCACAUACAACGGGUGUAAGACAGUUUUACACAGCGAAAACACUUAGGGUUAACUUGACGAGCCUAGCAUGUGCAGACAUGGCCUCGGAACACGGAGACCGAAAGGUCGAACACGAGUCGUAUGGAAGAUACGAUCAACGUGAAAAUGUUCUCCGACGAUGACUAGUCCGUCUCACGUGAUGAUCGGACACGGACUAGUCGACUCGGAUCGUGUAACACUUAGAUGACUAAAGGGAUGUCUAAUCUAAGUGGGAGUUCAUAAUUUGAUUAGAACUUUAUUAUCAUGAACUUAGUUUAAAACCUUUGCAAAUAUGUCUUGUAGAUCAAUGGCCAACGCUAAUGUCAACAUGAACUUCAACGCGUUCCUAGAGAAAACCAAGCUGAAAGAUGAUGGCAGCAACUAUACGGACUGGGUCCGGAACCUGAGGAUCAUCCUCAUAGCUGCCAGGAAACAAUAUGUCCUAGAAGGACCGCUAGGUGACGCUCCCGUCCCAGAGAACCAAGACAUUACGAAUGCUUGGCAGUCUCGCGCUGAUGAUUACUCCCUCGUUCAGUGCGGCAUGCUUUACAGCUUAGAACCGGGGCUCCAAAAGCGUUUUGAGCAUCACGGACCAUAUGAGAUGUUCGAAGAGCUGAAACUAGUUUUUCAAGCUCAUGCCCGGGUCGAGAGAUAUGAUGUCUCCGACAAGUUCUACAGUUGUAAGAUGGAGGAAAACAGUUCUGUCAGUGAGCACAUCCUGAAGAUGUCUGGGUUGCACAACCGUAUGACCCAGCUGAACAUUAACCUCCCAGAUGAGGCGGUCAUUGACAGAAUCCUCCAGUCGCUCCCACCAAGCUACAAGAGCUUUGUGAUGAACUACAACAUGCAGGGAAUGGAAAAGACCAUUCCUGAAGUGUUCUCGAUGCUGAAGUCAGCAGAGGCUGAAAUCAAGAAAGAACAUCAAGUGUUGAUGGUCAAUAAGACCACUAAGUUCAAGAAGGGUAAGGGUAAGAAGAACUUCAAGAAGGACGGCAAAGAUGUUGCCGCGCCUGGUAAGCCAGUUACCGGGAAGAAGUCAAAGAAUGGACCCAAGCCUGAGACUGAGUGCUUUUAUUGCAAGGGGAAGGGUCACUGGAAGCGGAACUGCCCCAAAUACUUAGCGGAUAAGAAGGCCGGCAACACCAAAGGUAUAUUUGAUAUACAUGUGAUUGAUGUGUACCUUACCAGUAAUUGUAGUAACUCCUGGGUAUUUGAUACCGGUGCCGUUGCUCAUAUUUGUAACUCACAGCAGGAGCUGCGGAAUAAACGGAGACUGGCAAAGGACGAGGUGACGAUGCGCGUCGGGAAUGGUUCCAGAGUCGAUGUGAUCGCCGUCGGCACGCUGCCUCUACAUUUACCUACGGGAUUAGUUUUGAACCUUAAUAAUUGUUAUUUAGUGCCAAGUUUGAGCAUGAACAUUGUAUCAGGAUCUCGUUUAAUACGAGAUGGCUACUCAUUUAAGUCUGAGAAUAAUGGUUGUUCGAUUUAUAUGAGAGAUAUGUUUUAUGGUCAUGCUCCGAUGGUCAAUGGUUUAUUCUUAAUGAAUCUCGAGCGUAAUAUUACACAUGUUCAUAGUGUAGAUGCCAAAAGAUUUAAAGUUGAUAACGAUAGUCCCACAUACUUGUGGCACUGCCGCCUUGGUCACAUUGGUGUCAAGCGCAUGAAGAAGCGCCAUGCCGAUGGACUUUUAGAGUCUCUUGAUUAUGAAUCGUUUGACACGUGCGAACCAUGCCUCUUGGGCAAAAUGACCAAGACUCCGUUCUCCGGAACAAUGGAGCGAGCAACCAACUUGUUGGAAAUCAUACAUACCGAUGUGUGCGGUCCAAUGAGCGUUGAGGCUCGCGGAGGAUAUCGUUAUGUUCUCACUCUCACAGAUGACUUGAGUAGAUAUGGGUAUGUCUACUUAAUGAAACACAAGUCUGAGACCUUUGAAAAGUUCAAGGAAUUUCAGAAUGAGGUGGAGAAUCAACGUGACCGAAAGAUAAAAUUCUUACGAUCAGAUCGUGGAGGAGAAUACUUAAGUCACGAAUUUGGUACACACUUAAAGAAAUGUGGAAUCGUUUCACAGCUCACGCCGCCUGGAACACCUCAGCGAAACGGUGUGUCCGAACGUCGUAAUCGCACUCUAUUGGAUAUGGUGCGGUCUAUGAUGUCUCUUACCGAUUUACCGCUAUCAUUUUGGGGAUACACUCUAGAGACAGCUACAUUCACUUUAAAUAGGGCACCGUCUAAAUCCGUUGAGACGACACCGUAUGAAUUAUGGUUUGGAAAGAAACCUAAGCUGUCGUUUCUAAAAGUUUGGGGAUGCGAAGCUUAUGUCAAGAAACUUCAACCUGAAAAGCUCGAACCCAAGUCGGAAAAAUGCGUAUUCAUAGGAUACCCUAAGGAAACUAUAGGGUAUACCUUCUACUUAAGAUCCGAAGGCAAGAUCUAUGUUGCCAAGAACGGAUGCUUUCUGGAAAAAGAGUUUCUCUCGAAAGAAGUAAGUGGGAGGAAAGUAGAACUCGAUGAAGUACUACCUCUUGAGCGGGAUAGUGACGCAGCACAGGAAACCGUUCCUGUGAUGCCCACACCAACUGAAGAGGAAAACCAUGAUAAUGAUCAAGGUACUUCGGAUCAAGUUACUGCUGAACUUCGUAGGUCCACAAGGACACGUUCCGCACCAGAGUGGUACGGCAACCCUGUCCUGGAAAUCAUGUUGUUAGACAACAAUGAACCUUCGAACUAUGAAGAAGCAAUGGCGGGCCCGGAUUCCAACAAAUGGCUUGAAGCCAUGAAAUCCGAGAUAGAAUCCAUGUAUGAAAACAAAGUAUGGACUUUGACAGACUUGCCCGAUGAUCGGCGAGCGAUAGAAAACAAAUGGAUCUUUAAGAAGAAGACGGACGCGGAUGGUAAUGUUACCAUCUAUAAAGCUCGACUUGUCGCUAAGGGUUAUCGACAGGUUGAAGGGAUUGACUACGACGAGACAUUCUCUCCCGUAGCGAAGCUAAAGUCCGUCCGAAUCAUGUUAGCAAUUGCCGCAUACUAUGAUUAUGAGAUAUGGCAGAUGGACGUCAAAACAGCAUUCCUUAACGGGCAUCUUAAGGAAGAACUGUAUAUGAUGCAGCCGGAAGGUUUUGUCGAUCCUCGGAACGCUAACAAAGUAUGCAAGCUCCAGCGAUCCAUUUAUGGACUGGUGCAAGCAUCUCGGAGUUGGAACAUUCGCCUUGAUGAGAUGAUCAAAGCGUUUGGGUUUAUGCAGACUUAUGGAGAAGCCUGCGUUUACAAGAAAGUGAGUGGGAGCUCUGUAGCAUUUCUCAUAUUAUAUGUAGAUGACAUACUCCUGAUGGGAAAUAAUAUAGAAUUUCUGGACAGCAUUAAGGCCUACUUGAAUAAGUGUUUUUCAAUGAAGGACCUUGGAGAAGCUGCUUAUAUAUUAGGCAUCAAGAUCUAUAGAGAUAGAUCGAGACGCCUCAUAGGUCUUUCACAAAGCACAUACCUUGAUAAGAUUUUGAAGAGAUUCAGAAUGGAUCAGUCCAAGAAGGGGUUCUUGCCUAUGUUACAAGGUAUGAGACUGAGCUCAGCUCAGUCACCGACCACGGCAAAAGAUAAAGAAGAGAUGAGUGUCAUCCCCUAUGCUUCAGCCAUAGGAUCUAUUAUGUAUGCCAUGUUGUGUACCAGACCCGAUGUAAACCUUGCCGUAAGUUUGGUAGCAAGAUACCAAAGUAAUCCCGGCAAGGAACACUGGACAGCGGUCAAGAAUAUCCUGAAGUACCUGAAAAGGACGAAGGACAUGUUUCUCGUUUAUGGAGGAGACGAAGAGCUCGUCGUAAAGGGUUACGUCGAUGCUAGCUUCGACUCAGAUCUGGAUGACUCUAAGUCACAAACCGGAUACGUGUAUAUGUUGAAUGGUGGAGCAGUAAGCUGGUGCAGCUGCAAGCAGAGCGUCGUGGCGGGAUCUACAUGUGAAGCGGAGUACAUGGCAGCCUCGGAGGCAGCGCAUGAAGCGAUUUGGGUGAAGGAGUUCAUCACCGACCUAGGAGUCAUACCCAAUGCGUCGGGGCCGAUCAAACUCUUCUGUGACAACACUGGAGCUAUUGCCCUCGCAAAGGAGCCCAGGUUUCACAAGAAGACCAGGCACAUCAAGCGUCGUUUCAACUCCAUCCGUGAAAAUGUUCAAGAUGGAGACAUAGAAAUUUGCAAAGUGCACACGGAUCUGAAUGUCGCAGAUCCGCUGACUAAACCUCUCUCGCGUGCAAAACAUGAUCAACACCAGAACUCUAUGGGUGUUCGAUUCAUCACAAUGUAACUAGAUUAGUGACUCUAGUGCAAGUGGGAGACUGUUGGAAAUAUGCCCUAGAGGCAAUAAUAAAAGUAUUAUUAUAUUGUUCAUGAUAAUUGUCUUGUAUUCAUGCUAUAACUGUGUUAUCCGGAAAUCGUAAUACACGUGUGAAUACUUAGACCACACUAUGUCCCUGGUAAGCCUCUAGUUGACCAGCUCGUUGUGAUCAACAGAUAGUCAUGGUUUCCUGACUAUGGACAUUGGAUGUCGUUGAUAACGGGAUCACAUCAUUAGGAGAAUGAUGUGAUGGACAAGACCCAAUCCUAAGCAUAGCAUAAAAGAUCGUGUAGUUCGUUUUGCUAGAGCUUUGCAAGUGUCAAGUAUCUCUUCCUUCAACCAUGAGAUCGUGUAACUCCCGGAUACCGUAAGAGUGCCUUGGGUGUAUCAAAUGUCACAACGUAACUGGGUGACUAUAAAGGUGCAUUACAGGUAUCUCCGAAAGUAGCUGUUGGGUUGACACGGAUCGAGACUGGGUUUUGUCACUCCGUAUGACGGAGAGGUAUCUCUGGGCCCACUCGGUAAUGCAUCAUCAUAUUGAGCUCAAUGUGACCAAGGUGUUGGACACGGGAUCAUGCAUUACGGUACGAGUAAAGUGACUUGCCGGAAACGAGACUGAACAAGGUAUUGGGAUACCGACGAUCGAGUCUCGGGCAAGUAACGUACCGAUUGACAAAGGGAAUUGCAUACAGGGUUUGAUCGAAUCCUCGACAUAGUGGUUCAUCCGAUGACAACAUCGAGGAGCAUGUGGGAGCCAUCAUGGGUAUCCAGAUCCCGCUGAUGGUUAUUGACUGAGAGAGUCUCGGUCAUGUCUGCAUGUCUCCCGAACCCGUAGGGUCUACACACUUAAGGUUCAGUUGCGCUAGGGUUAUAGGGAUAUGUAUAUGCAGUAACCCGAAUGUUGUUCGGAGUCCCGGAUGAGAUCCCGGACGUCACGAGGAGUUCCGGAAUGGUCCGGAGGUAAAGAUUUAUAUAUGGGAAGUCCUGUUUCGGGCAUCGGGACAAGUUUCGGGGUUAUCGGUAUUGUACCGGGACCACCGGAAGGGUCCCGGGGGUCCACCGGGUGGGUCCACCUGUCCCGGGGGGCCACAUGGGCUGUAAGGGGGUGCGCCUUGGCCUAAUGGGCCAAGGGCACCAGCCCCACAUAGGCCCAUGCGCCUAGGGUUUAAGGGGGCAAGAGUCCUAGGAGGGUAAGGCACCUCCUAGGUGCCUUGGGGGGAGGGAAAACCCCCCUUGGCCGCCGCACCCCAUAGGAGAUUGGAUCUCCUAGGGCCGGCCACCCCCCCUUGGCACCCCUAUAUAUAGUGGGGGAGAGGAGGGACUUCAUACCUGAACGCCCUGGCCUUUGGUUGCCUCCUUCUCCCUCCCCAACACCUCCUCCACCUCCAUAGUGCUUAGCGAAGCUCUACCGGAGUACUGCAGCUCCAUCAACACCACGCCGUCGUGCUGCUGCUGGUGCCAUCUCCCUCAACCUCUCCUCCCUUCCUUGCUGGAUCAAGAAGGAGGAGACGUGGCUGUUCCGUACGUGUGUUGAACGCGGAGGUGCCGUCCGUUCGGCGCUGGUCAUCGGUGAUUUGGAUCACGUCGAGUACGACUACAUCAUCACCUUGCAAGCUUCCGCACGCGAUCUACAAGUGGUAUGUAGAUGCGAACUCUCUCCCUAGACUCGUUGCUUAGAUGAACUCAUAGAUGGAUCUUGGUGAAACCGUAGGAAAAAUUUUAAUUUUCUGCAACGUUCCCCAACAGGUUUCCCCCUAGGAGGAGUCCUAGUGGUGGAAGGCACCCCUAGGUACCUUGGGGGGGAGGGAAACCUCCCCUAGGCCGCCGCCCCCCCUAGUAGAUCUCAUCUACUAGGGCCGGCGCCCCCCCUUGGCACCCCUAUAUAUAGUGGGGGAGAGGAGGGACUUCAUACACCAGCCCCUGGCGCCUCCACCUCCCCCCGUUACGUCUCUCCCUCGUAGUCUCGGCGAAGCCCUGCUGCUGUGACGCCCUGCAUCCACCACCACGCCGUCGUGCUGCUGGAUCUUCAUCAACCUCUCCUUCCCCCUUGCUGGAUCAAGAAGGAGGAGACGUCUCCCGUCCCGUACGUGUGUUGAACGCGGAGGUGCCGUCCGUUCGGCGCUGGUCAUCGGUGAUUUGGAUCACGUCGAGUACGACUACAUCAUCACCUUGCAAGCUUCCGCACGCGAUCUACAAGUGGUAUCUAGAUGCAAACUCUCUCCCUAGACUCGUUGCUUAGAUGAACUCAUAGAUGGAUCUUGGUGAAACCGUAGGAAAAAUUUUAAUUUUCUGCAACGUUCCCCAACAAUUCUAUCCUUUCAGGAGGAUACGGGGAACAGUCAAGCAGUUGAAGAAGAGGUAACUAUAAUCUCUUCCGACUCAGAGCCUUUGCCAACACAAAAACUCCGAAGGGUGACCCGGAAAGUAAGUUUUUCACAUCCUCUAGCUUACCAAGAUCCUCAAUUUCUUUUGAAGCAACAACAACUUGAGAACCGGAGGCAAACUCGGGCCACUCAAGACGCCGAACUCUCCUCCGGCUUACCUGAUGUAACCAGGAAGCGUCGAUCCGAGGUUACCUCCGAUUUACAUUCUGCUUUUCCUUUGGCGGGUCUAAUUCGCCAACCUCUCAAUUCAUCUGACUCCAAUUAUCAGGGUGCUUCUCCGUCUUCCGACGAGUCGAUGCAAUCAAACAUGCCGGUUUUUAAGAUAGCUCCAGGGUAAUGCAACCUUUCUUAUUGUAAGUCUUUCCAUACUUAUGCGUUGAUACUCAUCCUUCCACUUUGAUUGACAGCCUGCAAGUGAAGCCUAGCAAGAGGGCAAAUAAGAAUAAGCCGUCCCAAGACCCGGUGGUUCCUGAACCGGCAAUUGACUCAUCCGUUCCCGACGGCUCCACUCACCAGCCACCGCCUGAGCCGGCUCUUGAUAUUCCGGUGUCAACCUCUGACCCGCUUGUAGAAGAUGGUGUCCACAAUUCUAAUAACCCAGAAAUUCCUAGCCCGGUCAAGAGGACUGAUCCGGAAGUUGAGUUCCUGAAGAGCCAAUAUGUUGCGCCGGACCAGCCUACUGUUCUUGCUCAAUGCACUGCCAAGGAGGAGUUUGCUCAACAUCGGAAAGCCAAACAGGCCAUCACUGAUUAUACUCACCUAAGCAUUGGUGAUAUAGUCUCGGGCUAUCUGAACCAAGUGCACAAUAGCCGUGACCUGGAAAUUGACAUGGGGAAGCAAAUACAGCAUAAAUUUGAGGUAUAACUUUAGCUUUUCCUGAACCUUACUUACUGUACCAGCCCCCAAGUCUAUUGCUUAUGAAUGAAUAUGCUAUAGACUUAGAAAUCUAUUUACUGUUAGUAUGCCCAGUUUAAAGUAAAUACAUUUAACCCGGUGAUAGCGUGAAACUUUGAAUUGACACUUUAGUCCCCAAGUGUCAAGUAUCUUUACUUGUAAAAUGCUUGAGACUUUAGUAUGUAUGGCUUGGCAAAUAAGUUAAAAAUUUCUUUGAGCAUACAUUAGCCCCCAAGUGCCAAAUAUCUUAACUUGUAAAGUGUUUGGGACUUGACUGUUACCUUAUCAUGAUCCUUACCAUAAUUUCGUGCCAAUAUAGGCUACCAUAAGUCAAUUUGAAUCGGAGAUUGCUGACCUGAAGAGCCAGCUGAAGUUGCAAGUGCUUGAAACUCAAAAAGCAAACUCCAAGUUUGAAUUCAGCAUCUCUGAACAAGAAAAACUGAAGAAAAAUUUUGAGUCGGAGAAACAAGCUUGGGUUGAAGAGAGGGCUGCAUUAGUGACUCGGGCCGAAACGGCAGAAGCAUCUCUUGCAGAGGCAACACCCGAACUGUCCGACUUAAAGCGGCAGAUAUCCCAAAUGGUCUCAGCCAUCUUCGGUAAGUCUCUCCAAAAAACCUUAAACAUUGUAAUCUUUCAAGGAUUUAUUGUGAUGAUUAUCUCCGGCUUAUUGUUAUGCUUGUUACCAUACAGGCCCCAGGAGUACCAACCUCAAGCAAAACAUGCUGAUCAAACUCAAGGCAGUUUACACCCUUGUGGAGCAGCUGUACACCGGGUCACAACGUGCCUUGGCCGUUGUAGCUUUAUCAACUCCACAUCCCUGCCUUCUGCAAGACGUAUUGAAGAGCCUCACUUUUCUUCCUCAGCGGAUCCAAGAUCUAAGGCGGGCGUCCUCAAGAGCCGAAGCUGUAGCCGCAUUGAGUCGGGCUAAAGCAUGGCUCCCGGAACUAGACCCGGCCAACCUUGCCCUUGGAUACCCAAGUCUGAAGGAGGACGGUAUUGCCUUUGACGACCAUGACUUCAACGCCUGUGUCAAAGCCAUACAUCUCGUGGCGACCCUUAUUGGAAAUGACACAGACCUUAGCAAGUAUGCACCGGCUUAUGACAGUGAAAACCGGAGAAUCCCAAACGCUCCAUAUUAUCAAGUCAGCCUGAUCCCUCCAACGCGUAAGCAUACCUUUGCCCCUGAAGUGGACCCGUCCGGUUUAAUAGAUGAUGAGGCUGAAUUUGAAGCCUUAAGCGGCAUUGACUGGGCCUCAUCCACCUUCCAGGACAAAGCAACCGACGGAGAGGCGGAGAAGGAUAACCCGGAGCCAUCAAGCCCGCCAAAGGAGUGAGCUGCCAGGCGUCUUACCUUUUGCCCAAACGAUGCUUCACUUAUUCAGACUCGGGGAGUCUUGUAAAAACUUCUCAAUGUUUGCCAUGCCUUCGUGCAUGUUUAUGGCGCUUAACGAUUUCGUACACCGUCAUUAGCCUAUAUUUCCCAGCUUAUGUUGAUUGUUUGCCCCCUUGAAGUUAAAUUUUCCUGCCUUACUCUGCACAUAAAGCAAACAAAUUUUUCUUGGGCGGUUUACUGCUCCAGGGGUUUAUAAAGUAUUGAUAACCCGGGACAUAGUACAAAGAACAUCAUGUACAGACCGAUUUAUGAGUACUUAUACUCACAAUAGCAUACCUGCGAACCCCUUGGUAACCUUCCCGAUUCAUAUGUACCUGACACUUGGAGGACAUGGGGUAGUCAAUAGUGAACCGGAAGGACCAAGUCUCAUCUCCUCAAGAAGGUUCAAAUAUAGUUAAAGCAAUGUUCACAGGCUCCUGAUUCGAAUACGAUUAGAGAAUCGUUCCAAAGGGGUUAAGCUAAGAUUCGAAUACAAUCAUAUAGCCCCCAGUGGCUUUGGCGAUGCCGAUCAAAUGGGUAUCGACAUCUAUGUUCUCUUUGGUUCGAAUAUGACCUAUUUUUGAACAGGAAGCCCCCAAGUGACCAUAAAAUUUGUUUAAUGACGCUGAUUCGAAUACGGUCCACGUCAGACCCAAAGGGGGUUAAGCUGUGAUUCAAAUAUGAUCAAGAAGCCCAAAGUGGGUUUGGCAGUAUGCCGAUCAAGUGCGUAUCGACAGCUAUGUUCUCUUUGGUUCGAAUACGACCUAUGUUUGAACAGGAAGCCCCCAAGUGACCACGGCUAGAUUCAGAUAUGAUCAUAAGCCGGACCAAAGGGAGAUCCGGAUUCAGAUAUGAUCCGGUCCCUAUUGGUUGUUUCCACCACCUGUCAAAAAGACAUAUAUACUUGUUUUGAGGGUGAAAAAAGGACAGAAGUCCUGCUUUAUUACUUUAUAUAAUAUAUACAUUGUCAAAAACAUAUAUAUCUCAAGAGCCGAUGGCUUAAAUAUAACAAGGCUGAAUAUGAGUUAUAUCCCACGGCCGGCCAGGCGAAUCACGCUGGAUAUUACUUAGCAAAGCUGCCUCCACCCCAGAAGCUAUGGAGAAAGGUGUAUAACCCGCCGGAUCAAGGCCACUUACCCUGAUGUCUCUGAUUGUUACCCUGUGUUUUUACAUUGGCCACAAGUUCUGAGUUGUCGUCCACCUUACGCUUAUUGCCACCUUGGUUCACCGGGUUGUGCUGUUGGCCCUUUCUACUGCUGUUCUGUUUUCCCUUCCCUGCCUUUUCAUCGUCAGACCCGGGAUCCUUGGUACUAUCAGAAUCAGCGUACUUGACCAGAGCUGCCAUUAGUGUACCCAUAUCCUUGCAGCCACGUUUAAGGCGCCCUAACUUCUGCCUCAGCGGCUUGAAGCUGCAAUUCUUUUCCAAUAUAAGAACUGCAGAACCGGCGUCCAUCUUAUCAGAUGAAUGGAUUAUCUCCUUGACCCGGCGUACCCAAUGGGUGGUAGACUCACCUUCCUCUUGCUUGCAAUCCGUCAGGUCUACAAUUGACAUAGAUUGCUUACAGGUGUCUUUGAAGUUCUGGAUGAACCGGGCCUUUAACUCACCCCAUGAACCAAUGGAAUUGGGUGGCAGACCCUUUAACAAAGACCGAGCCGUUCCAUCUAGCAUCAUGGUGAAAUACUUAGCCAUCGCCGCGUCACUAACUUCCAACAGCUCCAUGGCCAUCUCAUAACUCUCAAUCCAUGCUUCGGGCUGCAGGUCGGCCGUGUAAUUCGGCACCUUUCGAGGUCCCUUGAAGUCUUUGGGCAACCGCACAUUACGUAAAGUCGGAACCAGACAAGGAACACCACCGGUUCUAGUGGCGACACCCGCCUCAACAAAAGUUGUGGGAUACUCCGGAAAAUCUUGGUGUACCAUCUGUUGAGCCGCUGCCUGAGCCGCCCGCUCGUCCUCCUGGCGUAUUCGAUCUUGCACCGGGUUAUAGCCACUGGGCUGGUUACGGCGUUGGGUGUUGCUUGACAAAGCUUCUGACUCCAUGUGCCUGCUGUAACUCAGGCUCUGGUUCUGGCGAGGUGGUGCUAACCAGGGCGGGGGAGUUGAAUGAAUCAUGUCCCGGCUAUAAGAAUAGGUCUCCUGCCGAGCUAAAGCCGUCUGGAGGAGCUCUCUGACUCUUCGGGUCUCUACUGCCGCCGGGUCAUCACCCUCCAUAGGAAGAGCCGCCAAACAUGCUGAAGCUGCAAUUAAGUUCUCCAUGGGGUUGGAAAAGUGACCCGGUGGAACCGACACAUAACGCGGCGGUGGCAUGCUCACAUGAGGUGGUGCCAUCUCCCGAGGCUGAGUCGGCCCUCCUGUUCCGGCGGUCAUAAACUGAUUGGCCUCCGGGUUACUUGGGCCGGCUCCGGGUGUAGCAAAAAGAACCCGAGGAUUGUAAUUCGGAGGUAACCGAGACUGAGUCUUCUGAUGUCUCCUCCUCAUUACCUCAUUGGAUGCGUUUAAACUCAUUGUGAGCUGGUAAGCUUCUGACUGCAAGCGCUGUGCCCGGGCAUCGAGAGCCGCUCGCUCUGUAGCUAGUCUAGUGUCCUCAGCUGCCAAGGCCUCCUUGGCCUGAGCUAUCUCUUCACGCACCUGUGCUACCGCUGCAUCAUGCUCGUCUUUGUCUGCAGGAAUAACCGUAGCAGUUAACAGGACCGUAAACUUGUCCAUGAGGUCCAUCAGCACCUGAGCUGGUAGGCGCACGGGGCCGCUUGCCCUGGCUACUCCUGACCCGGAUGUGAUCGCUGCCGUAGCUGUAGAGUUUGCACCGGGCUAAGUUCCAGCCAUAAAGAUCCCUGCCCAUCUUGGCGGCUCACAGGGGUCCAGAAUACUGCUGCCAUCGGAACAGCCCUCGAGCGCGUCGUCUUGUACCUGAUACAAUGAAUCUAUUGAGCCGGUGGACGAGUCACCGUCUGAGAGGACAGCCGUCUCACCCCCAUCUUCAGAUCCUUUAGGAAAUUCCUCUCCGUGGAUGCAGCCCACGAAGGCACGCCUUAAGACAGGUUGAGUCCGGGUCUUCCUUGCAUGCUGAGCCGUCUCGAUGAGGUCGGUGCAGUUGUCCGGCUCAGGGCCCGGCUCACCGAUCCGGCCGAUGAAGACAUGGAUUCCGCUGAAGGGGACCCGGUAUCCGUACUCAAUUGAGCCGGCGUUAGGACCCCAGCCUUCAUCGUCGAUGUAGAUCUUGCCGCGACGACUCUUGGUCAUCCGGCCCACCACGUAUCCCUUGAGCCCUUCGAAAUUGCCCUUCAAGAACUCAAAUCCACCGUGCGCUGGCCCCAUGGUGGGCGCCAACUCUCGUAGAAUUGUCACGUCAGAUGUCCUCAUGAAAGGACUUAGUUGUGGAGCCAUCGCAACUAGGAAUCUUGAAGGGGUUAAAUCGGGACAAAGGACACGAGAGGGUUUAUACUAGUUCGGCCCCUUAUGGUGAAGGUAAGGCCUACGUCUAGUUGGGUUGGUAUUGAUGUUUCGAUGACCAGGGAGCAAGACACGCUAUGCCUGGUUCUCGAUGAGUUGUUUUCUUCUCCUAAGCAGCCAGCGGGUCGUCCCCUUAUAUACACGGGUGGACGCCCUGCGGCUUACAGAGUCCCGGCCGGCUCAUAAACAAUGUCCGGCUCGAUGACUAGUUAAGUCUACCUCAUGAUACAAGUAAUAUCCUUACAACGGUUUACUACAACGGGCCUUAAGUCGCCAGCGGGCCUUAAGCCCAUCUUGAACCGCUAUCUUCAUGCUUGGCCUUGGGCUUCUCUCUGAUGAGGCUCUUUGCGUAACCCGGCCCCUCCUGGGCGGUUUACACAAAUAGCUAUAUUCCCAACAGAACCUGACUUCGAUCUCGUCAAAAUUCUGGUGGGGUGCAAUGAAUGGUGAUAAAAAGGUGCAGUGGAAAUCAUGGGAGAAGAUGUGUGCAGCAAAACGAGAUGGUGGUCUCGGCUUUCAAGACCCGGAAGCUUUCAACCAAGCUCUCCUAGAAAAGCAGGCAUGGAGGAUCUUGCAAUAUCCGCUCUCAGUAUGUGCACGGGUUCUCAAGGUGAGAUACUUCCCGAAUAACUCCAUCAUGUCGGCCACGUGCCCCUCGGGGGGCUCGUUCACUUUCAGGAGUAUAUUCCAUGGGCAUGACCUGCUGUGGGAGGGGUUGAUUUGGAGAGUCGGAGAUGGGUCCAAGAUUAAUGUUCAUCAUGACAAUUGGAUCUCAAGGAGUGGGAGUAUGCAACCGCCGGGAGCCGUAUAUGUACUGGGAGUGACAAGGGUGGCUGAUUUGCUGUCACCUAAUGGCGCCUCGUGGAGUUUUGAUCGUGUGGAUGAGAUGUUCUCUCUAGAUGAUGUGGCGGACAUAAAACAGAUAGCGGUUGGGGGACUGGGGGACAAAGGAUACCUUAGCAUGGAACUAUACUAAAAAUGGAGUGUUCACGGUGCGCUCGGCCUACCACCUAAGAAUGACCAUGAACAGGGUGAGAUUUGGGCAGCCGGAAUCUUUGAGUUCUGUAAGCAAACACAAAGGUUACCUGGGGUUGUGGGAUACUAGUGCGCCGAACAAAGCAAAAAUUCAUAUGUGGAGGGUCAUCAGGAAUGGCCUAGCAGUUGGGUCCGAGCUCCAUCGUAGGCGCAUCAAACCAGGGGUGUUCUACAUGGUAUGUGGGUGGGAGGAGAGGAUCAUGCAUCUCUUUUGGACUUGCCAGCACUCGAUCCAGUUCUGGAACCAGCUUCACUCAGAAAAGGGAGUCACGGUGGCAGCCCCACCGAUCUUCACAGCCUCCCAGAGUGAGUUGGCCAACUGGCUGCUCGGAUGGUUCGCCAAGGCCCAUGAGGAUGAGCGGGAGAUGAUGAUACAUGCAGUAUAUGCACUUUGGCUGGCACGUAAUGAGACAAGAAAUGGCAAGAGAAUUGAGGCCCCACAUGAAAUCAUAGAGCGAGUUUGCUUUCACGUGAAGGAAUGGAGAGAGGUACAUGCAAAACCUCCUCGGAUCACAAAACCAGCGAUUAUUCAGAGGUGGAGUGCUCCAGACGAGGGGUGGGUCAAAGCAAAUUCAGAUGGGGCGAUCUCAAGGUAUGGUGGAAAAGCUGGAGGAGGAGUAGUGCUGCGAGAUGAGAAUGGAGGCUUCCUAGCGAGUGCGUGCUACUUGUUCCCGCAGCUGGUCGAUCCUGAAGCAGCCGAGAUCAUGGCAUGCAAACAAGCUCUUCUGGUAGUAGCGGACAUCAACGUGCGAAAGGUACAUGUUGAACUGGACAACCAGUCUCUUUUUUUAGAAAUGGAGGAAGACCCCCAGCCUUUGCAUCUGGACGAUGCAUGCAGCCAUUUUAUUAAUUGUUCAAACAAGACCUUACAAAGUAAUACAACAGUAAGACUAAAGCCACCGUCUAGGCAACAUCUGUCGCUACUCCUAUCCAUUUGAUGAAGGGAUGCUGAUAGUCUGGGCCUAAUACCAACAGACCUCGCAGCCAAACCUACCAUCUAAGACCCGAGGUCCCAUCCAGGACGCCUGCCGGGUAUGGGGCACCCACUGGUCUGACGCACUGCUCAACCCGGACACCUGCCUGGUAUGAGGCCGCCGCAGCCACCUACCACCAAUCCAUCUUCAGAACUGUACUACUGCAUCUACCUUGUCCGGUCUAGCUGCCGUCGACGCCACCACGACGCCAGACCGUGUCAUCCUCCUGCGCGAGUCCAUCUCCGUGCAUCGGAUGCCGAGUCACCCCAACGCCAUGCCGUCGAGAUCCGCCGCCAUCAAUGAGUGAGAUGAAGCACCGCUCCACCAAAGAAUCUGUCCUCUGGUCCCUCGAUCACAUGUGCACCUCCAAAAAUGAUGCCUCAAAGGGGGGAACGACACUAGAGCGCCGCCGUCAUCCGAACAUCCGAUCUAGGAUUUCCCCUAGAGGUAGCAGAGAGUGGCCUUGAACUUCCCCACGGUGAUGCCUUCAAGAAGGGAACGAUGCAGAUAGCGUAGCCACCGCCGGCCUUGGCAAUAGCCAAAAGCAAGUUUUCACCCAGAUCUGUUCAAAGGAAUCCAACUCCCGUGCACGGCCGCCGCCACCACCAGGCUAAGCACUCACCGCCGCCGGCACCUCCAUGAUGCCCAGAGGCCGCGAGACUCGCCGCCACCAUGCCUCAGCCAGUCUCUUGUACAUAUGAUCAAACAACCAGAGAAGAACUUGUCAGCAAUGUGACCAUGGCUAGAGGAAAUCAAGACGAUGCUCCGUUCUUUUGAUGAUUUUAGAGUUUCCUGGGUUAGGCGUUCAGCAAAUGUUGCCGCGCAUAAAUUAGCAAAGGUAGGUGUAGGUGAAAAACUUUGUAAGGUCUGGUUAGGUGUACCUCCAGAAUGCAUUCUGGAUGUGAUUGCGGACGAGAUUCCAAACUUCGUUUGAGGUAAUAAAGCGGCGACAUUUAACUUAAAAAAAGAAGACAUAUAAAAAUUGGUAGGACCAUUGAAGUCAUUUUACAAUGAUUUUUUGUCAACCUUUUGUUCUUUAUAAGGCACAUAUCCUUCCUAGAGUGAAACAUAUAUGGCAUCCAUUGGCAGGACAGGAUCUUAGGGGGUGAGAAACACAAAAUAUUUAUGCUUUUUUUGUUGUGUAUUUAUUUAUUUUUCAAUCUAUCUAAGCGCCCCUAAGAAAAUUUCUUUUACCAAGGCUUGGGGGUCAUGACCCGUGCAGUUUUUUUUAACAUGGUACAAUCGAAGUUGCUCACAUGCACGGGCAUACACUCAUCCUAUGAACGUGCGCACGCAUACCCUAUCCCUAUGAGCACCUUUGAGAGGCUGAGCCAACAUAGCACUCUUGAUAUUUUACGAACUCACUGCGGGCACCUCAUAGUUGAUUGGAAGGUCUCCUCUAUUAAACGGAUAAAUUCAGGAAAAUACAAGCACCAAUGUCAGGUUUAGGACUUGAACUCUAGUGGACUGAGUAUCGCAUCAUUCUUCUAACCAUCCAACCACAUAUUGAUUCGUGGCCCGUGCGGGGUUGAGUGGUUGACCAUAGCUCCGCCCUUAAUUGGCAGGAAGCUGCAACACCCUCCAAAUAAUAUUUUGGACUUUAGACCAACCUGUAGAAUAUGUGAAUUGCACGAUGUAUUGCUCUUCAUGCAUAGGCACGUAUAUAUGAUGUACAAAGGUGGGCCACUGACCUCGACUAUACAAGGAACUAGGAGGCGGGCCCAAUACACAAUAUGCAUAUAACACAUAUACUCAACAAACCCCCGCAGUCGAAGCGGUACCUCGGCUGACGCAAAGACUGGACUGGAACUCCUCAAAUGACGCCGUAGGCAAGCCCUUGGUCAUGAUAUCUGCAAAUUGUUGGGAAGUAGGGACGUGCAAAACACGAAUAUGACCAAGAGCCACUUGUUCCCGAACAAAAUGGAUAUCCAACUCAAUAUGCUUGGUCCGGCGAUUAUGCACCGGGUUAGCGGAAAGGUAGACCGCCGAGACGUUGUCGCAGUAGACCACCGUGGCACGGUCAAUAGGGCAAGAAAGCUCCUGAAGCAGCUGGCGAAGCCACGAACACUCGGCGACGGCGUUGGCCACCGCGUGAUACUCAGCCUCAGCACUGGAACGAGAGACCGUAGGCUGCCGCUUGGACGACCACGAGAUAAGUGAGGGUCCAAGGUAGACACAAUAGCCCGAGGUGGAGCGACGAGUAUCAGGGCAGCCCGCCCAGUCUGCAUCGGAGUAGGCGGUGAGGGCGGUGUCGACGGAGGCAUGAAACAUGAUGCCAAGAUCCAUAGUGCCACAGACAUAGCGGAGAAUCCGCUUGACCGCAGCCCAGUGAACAUCUCGAGGAGCAUGCAUAUGAAGACACACUUGCUGCACGGCAUACUGGAUCUCUGGUCAAGUCAGAGUGAGGUACUAAAGAGCACCAACGAUAGACCGAUAGAAAGCAGCAUCUGAAGCAGGGGAACCAUCCGUGGCAGAAAGCUUGGCCUUCGUAUCAACAGGUGUAGCGGCGGGCUUGCAGUUAAGUAUGCCGGCGCGCUCCAGGAGCUCAUGAGCGUACUUUCGCUGAUGAAGGAAGAAGCCAUCAGGACGGCGCACCACCUCGACACCGAGGAAGUAGUGCAAAGGACCCAAGUCCUUGAUGGCGAACUCAGCGUGAAGAUGAGCCGUGAGCUGACUGAGGAGACCAGCUGUACAUGCCGUCAGGAUGAUGUCGUCGACAUAGAGCAGCAAGUAGGCCGUGUCGGAGCCCUGAUGAUAGACGAAGAGCGAGGCGUCCAAGCAGGUAGAGCGGAACCCAAGCUGGUGGAGAAACGCCGCGAUGUGCUGGUACCAAGCGCGCGGAGCCUGCUUGAGUCCGUACAAGGACCACGAAAGCAGGCACACGUGGUAGGGAAGCGUCGGGUCAACAAACCCGGUGGGCUGCUGGCAGAAGACCUGCUCCUCGAGAUGACCAUGGAGGAAGGCGUUAGAGACGUCCAUCUGGUGCACCGGCCAAGCACGGGAGACCGCAAGGUGGAGAACCAUGCGUAUCGUGCCAGGCUUGACGACCGGAGCGAAAGUGUCGGUGAAGUUGAUGCCAGCACGCUGUCGAAAGCCAUGAACGACCCAGCGCGCUUUGUAGCGAUCAAGGGUACCAUCAAGACGGAGCUUGUGUUUAAAGACCCACUUCCCGGUAAUCACGUUGGCGUGCCGGGGACGGGGAACAAGCUGCCACGUCCGGUUGCCCAACAGGGCGUCGAACUCCUCUUGCAUCGCAGCCAUCUAGACCGGGUCACGAAGAGCGGCUCGAACGGAGGACGGCAACGGCGACGGCUCAGAGGUGGACGCCGCAUGGACGUAGUCAUCCGAGGCAUAGCGCGAGCUCGGGCGAAAAAGCCCGUACGGGCGCGGGUGACCGGACCGGCCACAGGCGCAAUGGGGGCCGCGGGCACCGAGGGCGCCGGGGGCACCGGGGCGCCGAGGGGGCCGGGGGCACCAAGGGGGCCAUGGGCGCCGGGGGAGCCGCAGGGGCCGUGGGCGCCAACGUCGGGGGCGCCGGGGGCACCAACACCGCGGUUGUAGGAGGCGCCGCAUGCGGGGGGCGCGCCGCAAAGCCAGGGGCGGGCCAAGAGAGGCGCGCGAGCGCCCUGGGAGAGGCGUCGAGGAGCCUGCGUCACCGGUGGCGGGAGGAACAGCCGGGGAUACCUGGUGAAACGGAAACACAUGCUCAUUAAAGUAAACGCGCCAAGAGGUGAACACACGGUGGGAUACGGGAUCAUAGCACCGAUAUCCCUUGGAGUUAGAGGGGUAGCCGAUGAAGAUGCAAGCGACAGAUCGAGGUGCAAGCUUGUGAGAAGCAGUGUCGGCAAUGCUGGGAUAGCAAAGGCACCCAAAAAUACACAAGUCGUCAUAAGACGGUGGCGUACCAAAGAGAAGAUGGUGAGGUGCGUAGUUCCACUGUGGGCGGCAGGGUCUAAUGUUAAGAAGAAGUGAUGCAGUGGCGAGUGCGUCCGGCCAGAAACGAGGCGGCACGUUGGCAUGAAACAGGAGCGUGCGAACGCAGUCAUUCAGAGUGCAAAGGACGUGUUCAGCUCGACCAUUCUGCUGUGAAGUGUACGGGCAUGUGAGGCGGAAAACUGUACCGUGAUGUGACAAAAAGGUGCGGAAAGCGAGGUUGUCGAACUCUUUUCCAUUGUCCGUCUGAAGCGCAAGGAUGGGACGCCCAAACUGCGUGCGGACAUAGGAGUAAAAGGCCGUCAAGGUAGAGAGUGCAUCCGACUUUCUACGCAAAGGAAAAGUCCACACAUAAUGAGAAUAAUCAUCAAGAAUGAUCAGAUAAUAUAAAUAGCCCGAGUUACUGGGAACCGAAGAAGUCCACACAUCGCUAUGAAUCAACUGAAAAGAAAAAGAAGCAAUGGUGGUGGAAUUAUUAAACGGGAGACAGACAUGUUUGCCGACUCGACAGGCAUGACAAGUGUGAUCCUCGAUCUUAUUGCAACUGAAACUGAAACGCCGAAGAAUAUGACGAAGUGUGACAGGGUUGGGAUGACCCAAGCGAGCAUGCCAGAGAUCGACUCCAGCGGAGAGAGCAACCGGUGCUGUGGUGGUGGAUGAAGGCGAGUGCACCGGAUAGAGCUCGUCGGGGCUGUCACAUCGGUGAAGUACCAUCCUGGUUCGAGCGUCUUUGACACAAAAACCAAGCUCGUCAAAUUCAACGGUAAUAUGAUUUUCAUGAAUGAAACAACGAACAGAAAUUAGAUUCUUAAUAAGAUGAGGUGACACAAGUAUGUUAGACAAAGAUAAUGGAGUAGAACUAGAAGGAAAAGAAGUGUGCCCAAUGUGUGUGAUAGGAAGUGUGGAACCGUCGUCGACAAUGAUGCGGCGGUCGGUGGAGACAGGAGUGAAGGAGGCAAGGUUACCAGGAUGAGCAAACAUGUGAGCCGUAGCACCGGUGUCCAUGUACCAAUCACCACCUCCAGUGUAGUUAUUCGGCGUAGGAGCGGCAUGCAGUGUGGGGAGGAGCACCGGGUCCCAGGGCGCCGGCGGCAGGCCCGGCGAGGGGGACGGAGAUGCCAUGGGGAGGCCGUAGCCACCGCUCGGUUGCGGCGGUGGGUACUCUCCAUACGGAAUGGGUAGCAGCCCCGGCUGCGACUGCGGUACCGAGUAGGCCGGAUGGCCCGCCGGAAAACCCUGUUGGCCCGCUGAUGACCCCCACCAGUACCCGGGAAACCCGUACACGGACGGAGCCCCGUACGUGGGAACUGGCGCGUCGAAUGCCCCGCACAACAGCAAGGGGUCGAUGGGCAAAGGCGGCGCCGACGGCGGGGCGACAACGGACCGGCGGGAGAACGCUGGCGAUGACGGGGCCGCGUCGUAGGACACCGGCGGCGGAGCCGCGCCAGAGGGACCAUAGCAGAACUGGCCGGAGAACGCCGGCUGCGGCUGGGCCGCGCCGUAGGACGCCGGCGCCGGAGCCGCGCCAGGAGCCCGUAGCAGGACUGGCCGGAGAGCGCUGGCGGUGGCGGGGCCGUGCCGUAGUAUGCCGGCGGCAGAGCCGCGCCAGAGGGCACCGUCGGUGGGACGACAGAGGCAGCGGUGGAUGGGUCGAAGGCCACCGGGGCCUAAGGAGGCGGCCGCUCGUGUGGGAUCACGCACCCGUGCGGAGGAGUUUUCCGUGUGGUGCUGAUGUGGUUGAUUGGUGCAGCGCCGUCCAGGUCCUAGCUGCUCCGUUGCAUGUACCUAUUGGACGUGCUUGCAUGCAUGGACGUCCAGGUCAACGCACGAAGCAGCCACGAGGUGGACUUCCUGCACGCGCUAGACGGAGAUCCCGUACUGCAUGGAAUCGGGCACGGCUAGCGCGAUCGGAUUUGGCGAAGCGGGCAGACUUGACUACUGCUCCUUUCCCAUGCUCCUAUCCGUGUUUCUGCAUACGUGACUUAAUUUGAUUGAAAGAAAAUAAGGUCCGGCUUCACCUCCUGAAAAUCAAGGGAUGAUUAGAUUAGAAAAGAAAAAAAAGAAAAUAACAGCCGUAGGAUAAAAUAGGAGCAUGGAUGGGAGCAUGUGAAGGGAGCAGGCAAGCCGGGUUUGACGCGGCGUACGGGAGCUGGCGGGACCGGGAGAAGCAGGCGAAGCUGGCAGCUAGCGAUUGGGAGGGUUGGCGACUAGCGGCGCAAGCGACGAGCGAUCGGGAAGGUAGCGGGCGGAGUGAAGUUUGAAAUAAACGAGUUAAUUGCAGGGAACUACCAUAUUUCGGCACGUCAUAACGAAUCAGUACCAUUAAUUAUUUUUUUUGCCAUGCAGUGCCAACUCUAAGCCUAAGUGUUGCAAAACAGACUAAGUCACGUAUAAACACGUAUUGACGAUGUAUCUGACCAGCGGGGCCCGCAUGUCAACAGCCAACUUGGCAUAUUUUUUUGCAGAAAACCCCUUUAUUAUAAAUUUAAUCGCUCAAAGCCGCCACCUCACCGGAGCCUCGUCGCUGGCUCGCCGGAGCCCCGUCGCCUCGACCUCGCCGGCCUCCCCUCGACGGAGCCCCGUCGCUGGCUCGCCGGAGCUCCGGGCCCCUCUCCCUUCUCUUUCCUUUCCUCUCCUCUUCGCUGGCUGGCCGGGGCGGUGGUGGUCGGCGACGCUGGUGGGGCGCACGGGUGGGUGAUGUGGUGGCGGUGUGGGCGACGAGGGUUGAGGGCGUCGCGGCGGCGUGGUUGCCGGUGGCCGAAGGAACCGCCGCUGGAUUCAAGAUCCGCCGCCCCUGUGUGCCUCGCCCACGUAUCCUCUCGAUCUGCUCGACCCGAGUUACUCGCUCGAGACCUAGACGAGCCAGCAUCGCGUGGGCCGCUUGACAGCCCAACUGCGGCCCAAGGAAGCUAGCACAUUUUUUCUGAGGGAGUACUAAGCACCAGACUAGAACCAACGCACGGCAAGAUUUUAUGUGAGUUAGUAUUAUUUAGUGCCAUGAACUUUUUUUCUAAAAUUUAUGUGGAUUAAAGAAACAAAUGUAAGAUAAUUUUCUUUGUCUUAGCUCAGUUCCACACACAUGCACAAUUAUUACGGAUCCUCAUUGUAUUUUUCAAAUACACAAUUAAACAAAUUAUAUGCCCAACUUGGAGUUACUGCAUAUAUUUUUUGUAUUUUUAAUGCACAGUUACUCAAAAAAACGAUAACAAGUACUAAAAUUAUUGUGUAAUCGUAAUAAAUUUUAUAUUGCAUGACACACAUUUUAGAAAAUACAUUUACAAUUUUUAAAUACGUGUUCAACAUUUCCCAAAAAUGUUCUGAACAUUUUUUUCUUCAAAUGCACAAACACUUUUUUUUGAGGGAAAAGCCAUCAUGGCGGUUUAUAUUUCAUGUGAAAACAGCGAUACAUCGUUUGCCAAUACAUCUAGCAGAAAAUCCGGAGGCACUGAUUUCCACGAGCUUGAGCACAGGAGAGUAGCACAAGAUGGCAGCCGCCAGAUGACGACCAUAGACCCAGAGUCUGGCAGUCAAUACAUGGCGGCGUUCUUCUUGUUUGAGGCCAAGCUAGUGCAGGAGCUCCAGGCACGGUUGCAAAUGGAGGGCCUUCUGAUUAUUUUGCUCACUGUUGUGUUGUUGUGCAUUAGCACAGAGCACAACUAGGACGAGAGUGUCACCAUGUGUGAGUUUAGCUUGUAGCAUGUGCGUGUAGGAAGUUGUUCUUUGCCUCUUUCUAUGCGCGCCGCGGCGGCGAGAGCACAAAUAGUCAGUGGCGGCGCCAUGGUAGGGGCGGGUAUGGUCGGCCGCCCCGGGUAGAUGAAAAAACGUAUACGAAAAACUACGAUUCGUUAUACGUGGGCUAACGCAGAUAUCUCCGAAAUAGAGUUUCCUCCUGCUUUGUAUUCCAAUGCAAACAUCACCGAUACAAUCAGAUAGGUGCUGGGGCGGAAGCAGCACAGGCACGCCCAAAAGAAACGAAAGAGAAAAAGAAAAGAAACAAAUGCCGACACCGGCGGAUCAACAAAAACGAAGAAAGCUUCUCCAGAGCGCCAAUACCAAUCAACACCUCCAAGAAGGGACGCGGCGAUGACGACGCUGCUGCCAAGGGUUUCCCCCCGUACUCGACGAGGAGAGAGGAAGGGUACCUCCGAUGCCCUCCAGAAAGGUCCGGUGGCACCCUCAGGUACCACCGCGUCGGAGUCGGCUCAGCCGACAGGGAUUUCUCCCGAUCCCAAACCUUCACCUCGGGAGAUUCGGAGCACGCCACCAAACAAACCACCACUCUGCGCCAAAAUGGUCUUGAAGCUUCCGCGCCAUCUCACCACGGCACCGCGAAAGGGGCCUGCUCAACGAAGAAGAGGAGCCGGGACUCGGCACAGCAGCAUCGUCGGCACGCGGGAGGGCCCAACCUCCACCGUCGACGACGGUAACCGAUCGGACGUGACAGCAGGAGCAUACCGGUCCCGUGGGCCCACAGGUCUGGCCGGGUCUGCAUAUGCCCGUAAAGCUCCCCCCUUUACGCUACAGAAGGCAUGUUGUCGGCGCCACCACCGCGAGUCCGAGCCGCUCCUCCUCCGCGCCACGCAGAGGACGUCGAAGCCCCUCCAAUGGCCAACCCGCUAGGACCCAGAUGGGGUCGGGAGGGCCUAGAUCUGGGCCGGGGGCGCGCCGCCAGCCACCGCACGUCACCACGCCGCCCUGCUGCCAAGGGCAGCACCGCCUCCUCGCCCACCGCCGGCGACCGCCGCCUCGCCCACCGCCGGUGACCGCCGCCGGGUCGCCGGGCCGCCGCCCAGCCGAGCAGCACCACCGCCGUCACCUGCCCCAACCAAAAGAUGCAGCACCCUGCGUGGGAGGAAGCAGCAGCGACACCAGCACCGGCACGACAACGAGCUCGUGCAAAUGGCUGGCAGCUGCAAUUUGCAAAAUCAGCAAGCGCAGCCAGCAGGUACACACCAACAGAGAGUCAUAGACAGUCCAUUUUCUUCUGAAUAUGACCUUCAAUUCAGUACCAAUUAUUGAACUGAUGGUCAUAAAGGAAAAGCAUCAGUACGUAGUAUAUGCGUUUUAUAAGUGCUUAGUUUACAUCUUUUGAAGCCUGCUGAUAUGGCCAUAUAUGUUACAAUUGAUCAAGGCAAUUGCUGCUUAUAUUGCCAAUUCGCCGUAUAUUUAACAAUUAAUUUCUUCUGAUGUUGUAAUGUAGGGAGUCUUCAAAAGAAUGAAACCAAUUUUGCUGCAUAUUUUGGAACUCCCACACCAACUGUAUCAAGUGUCCCUUGAAGCCUCUGAUGCUAACAUUUUUCGAGUGCAUCUAGCUUCGUAUUUGAAUUUUUUGAGUAUUUGUUCAGCGUGGUUGCAUUUGUCCAUAAAAAAAAUUUAGACAUAAUGUUUCGCCCCGGCUAAGUUUAAUUUCUGGAUCCGCCACUGCAAAUAGUAGCAGUAUGCGGCGGCGAGCAGCAGCAGCAGUACAUGCUGCUGACAGCAUUACGCGGCGCCUGCGAGCGGCACCAAAAGUACGGGCGUUGAUGAGAUGGGCUCACUUCGUCGACCAGGGCACCAACCUCGCCACCUUCCGUCUCCUUCAAGCGGGCCAGACUCGUAGUGGACCUCACGAAGUUCAGGGAAGACCAAGCCGCCCAGGCCGCCGCCGGCGGUACCCCCGUCACCACCAUUGCCGACGCUGUCUGCGGGUUGGACGGCUGGACGAGGAGCUUGAGGGGCGCCUGGAGGGCGUCGCCAAGCAGCUGCUCCCGCUCGUGGAGGUUGCCGUAGCAGGGGUCUUCUGUCCAGGAGAGCAGGUCCGUGCCCGGGAGCAGAUCGAACACCUUGAACGCCAGCCACGCCUGGCCACACUUGGGACUGAGGAAGAUAUUGGGGAUAGCAUGUGACAGAUGGGCCCAUGUAGUAAGUGACAGUAGAAAUCAAUCCCGGGAUCAAGCCUUUCGUAUUACACCAAACAUGAUUUUACUCAUACAGGGUCUGAAUUGACCGGGAUCUAUAAAUACGGGAUACCAACUUCAGGGAUUUAGAGGUGAGGGUUUAUUCGCGCCAACCUCUACAAUCUCAGGGUUUAUUUUAGACUUCACUCGUAGCGGGCGCAACGAUGAGCGAUCGGGAGGGCUAGCAGGUUGGCGGCGUGGUGUCGGGCUAGCGAGCGGGUACCGAUCGGGCUGGGCUACCGGGAUCGGGAGAAGCGGGGAGAUGGCGCUACCGGUGCGGGAGACGCACGGGCGGCGGCGGUGAGAAGGCGGUGGCGGCGGCGGCGGCGCAGAGGAGGCGCGCGGCGGCGGCAGCGACAGCGGAUGGGAGGAUUAAAACCUAAAAACUGAUACCAUGUAGAAUAUGUGAAUUGCACGAUGUAUUGCUCUUCGUGCAUAGGCACGUAUAUAUGAUGUACAAAGGUGGGCCACUGACCUCGACUAUACAAGGAACUAGGAGGCAGGCCCAAUACACAAUAUGCACAUAACACAUAUACUCAACACAACCAAUGCACUGGCGCGGAACCUUCUAAUGCUUUGGACAGCUGAACUAACUAUAUUGUGCAGAUUAGCAGCUGGCGACUAGUGGAACAACAGUAUUCCAAAGUUAAUACUAACAUAAGUUGAACCAAUGCAAAUGAGGCAUGUUCUUAUUUUAUAAUGUCACAGUCUGGUGCCACCACUUGGAUUUAUUAACAGUUGCGAAGGAUUCUAUAAACUCCCCACUCACAAUUCUCGCGAUAGCGCAUGAUUAUUAUGUCUACUUGGUCAAGACUCAAAGAAAAUGAGCACUUGUUUUUACAAGGUGGGAUGCCUUCUGGAUAAGAUCGAUUGACAUUCCAGCUUCUAAAGUAAGCCGGAUUUAUAAAAAUGGAAUUUUGUUUGGAUAAAGUAAGUGGGCAAGGAACUACGAUCCAUUGGACACUACAGCGGAUAGUGCGCGGCUUGUUGGUUCGUUUGGGAUUUUUGUUGACCCGUUGAAUAUCUGUUGUACGUUUCGUGUUUCGUGUUACUGUGGCAAAUGUCGAAAACAAUUUGAUUGUUUAUUGGGAAGCCCUUUCUAUCAGAAGUCUGAUCCUAGAAAAUUGUCAGACUAGCACCCGGCCAUCAGAUGAGAGCUAUGCAUCCAACGAUUUCUAUUUGGGCUAUAUAAACCCACGUUGGGAUCUAUAAUUGCAUCUGACGGCCUAGGAGUGGUCUGAUAGGAAGCAAAAUUCAAUACUACCUCCAUCCUGAUUUAUUAGUCCUCUUUACAAUUUAUGCUAUAUUUUAAUCAAAGAUUUAACUGACAAAAUGCUAGUGCAUGUCAACAAAAAUUAUAUCGUUGGAUUCAUAUAUGAACAUAGUUUUCAAUGGUAUAAUUUUAGAUGACAUGCAUGAACAUUUUCUUAGUUAAAUUUAUGGUCAAAAUUUGGCACAGAUUACAAUGAAGACCAAUAAAACAGGACGGAUGUAGUACUAGUUUGAUGCCUAGUAGUUCCCUUAUUUUAUUAUAUAUAAAAUUUAUAUAAUGCAAACAUAGAUAUAAUUGCACCUGGGCUCACAAUAACAUCUAUUGACCGAGUGGGAGUAUCAUCUAGAGCUCAUCCAUUGUUAAAUGGCAAUGAUUGGGAAAGGUACCAAACAGAUUACCUGAGAUCUCAACUUAUCUAUCUGGAAUUCGAAUAUCACAUUAGACAAUUGGGAAAAUUUAUCAGUCUAACAUAGAAAUAUUUAUCAGACUGACUUGGAAUAUUAGUAUUGUUGAAUGACAUUUAUUAGUAUAUGAGCAGUGCUACAUCCACGACACUGACCAGACGAAAUGCACUACAGUGGUUGGAUUAGCUAUGUCCUGAUGUCGUUCUCCACAACUGUCGUGUGUGUAGUAGUUUCGUUAGUACUCCCUUCGUUUUUUUAGUCUACAUAUAAGAUUUGGUCAGAGUCAAACUUUGUAAAGUUUGAUCAACUUUAUUGGAAAAAAUAUCAACAUCCAUAAUACUAAAGCUGUAUGGUAUGAAAAUUAAUUUCAUGAUGCAUCUAACAAUAUUGAUUUUAUAUUGUGAAUCUUGAUAUAUUAUUUUAUAAAUUCAGUCAAAGUUAACAAAGUUUGACUUUAACCAAAUCUUAUAUGCAGACUAAAAAGAAACGGAGGAAGUAUAUAUUUUUCAGAAUAAAAGCACGACAGUGCAGGAGAAAGAAACUGGGAAUGCAGGAUGCAUGCAUGCAAUUAAUUACUAAAACUAAUUGGUAUACACAUGUGUGAAUUGUGGUGAGAUGCCAUAGUUGCAUGUGGUCUAAAUAAGUUAAGGGGGCUAUGCAUGCAAGAUGAUACCACGAGUUUUGCCACAAAAUUGAAGGACCCCGAUAACGAACCGACGUUUGAUAUGGGGAGGUAUCGUCCCAAAUGAAUCGUUCGGACCCCAACCAGUUGCGAUCGAACGAAUACCGUGCUUGUGAAGGGAAAAAUGGUGAUCAAUGCUACGCCACCAGCGCAUACAGCCAGCGCCCUAGCUAAAGAGGAGCUGAGCUGGGUCGCUCCUGCUACAGGAUGGACCAAGUUGAACACGGACGGAAGCUUCAUACCGGCUACAGGUAUGGCAGGAGGUGGGAUGAUCCUCCGGGACACUCAGGGAAACAUCAUAUUUAGCGCUUGCCGUGAACUCCGUACUUGUGGUAACGCGCUGGGCGCCGAGCUCACGGCGUGUAGGGAGGGGCUGGAGCUAGCCCUCCACCGGACGACGCUGCCAAUUUCGGUAGAACUAGAUAGUUCUGAGGCAGUGUCGCUGAUCAUAGCAAAUUCCGAUGAUAGAUCAGUAUAUCACUUCGUGAUCCAGGAGAUUAAAAGCUUGGCCUCAACUGAGGAUAGGGAGAUUUCUUUUACUCUUUGUCGUCCUUCGGAGAAUAAGGUUAGCCAUGAACUUGCUGCUUAUGGCCGUAGUACCUCCAGAACCGCAGUGUGGUUGCACUUGGGGUUAGAUUUCAUUGUAAUCUUGGUUGUGGCUGAGAGGCCCCCCGUGAGUAAUGAAAAUAUUCUUUACCCCCGCAUAAAAAAAAAGAAUACCGUGCUUGUGGUCGUUCGGGCUACCGCACGUCCCGCCCGAACGGCCUGCCAGCUGGGCUACGUAGGCAUGUGUCUUCCGAGCUGGGCCUUCAUGGUGAACCUGCAAAAAGUAAAGACUAAAUACCAACAGUAAAAGUUGCCAUGAUAAACUACAGAAGAGCUAAAAUACCUACAGGAAAAAAGCCAUGUUGUAAAAAAAAAAAAGAAAAAUACCUAAAAAUGGCAAAAAUACGUAAAAAAGAUAAAAAAAUACAUUAAAAAAACAGGAUAUUGCCACGUUGAAUUACAAAAAAGAUCAUACGGAGCAAAAAAUGUGCAUAGUAAAAAAACAUACAAAAAAAAGUUUGCCAUGGUAAUCUACAAAAAAAUGAAAACCCUGCAUGCCAAAAGUUGCAUAGUAAUCUCAGAAGUAAAAAACUACAAGAAAAAGGCAAUAUACACUGUUAUAGACUUAGUACAAAAUUAAGCUAUCAUGGUCAAACAAAAGUUUGCCGGGUUUUAAAAUUAAAUUUUGAAAUUGGUCCAAAAACAUGUAAAUUGCUGUGGUAAAAAGGUAAAAAUUCCCAUCUUUUCAAUAACUUGACCCAUGAUCUAGAAAGUAGAUUUGCCAUGGUCCAUAUACUAAAUUUGCCAUGCUUCACUAACUAAAUUUGAUAUGAUAUAUACUAAUUUCGUCAUGGUAUUAAAAGAAAUUUUGCCAUUGUCCAAUAUUGGUCCAAAAAUAUGUAAACUGCCGUGGCAAAAUAAAAGUUGUCAUUUUUUGAAUAAUUGCCCAUGAUCCAGAAACUAAAAAUUGCCAUGGUCCAUAAAUUAAAAUUUCCAUGAUCCAUUAACCAAAUUUCACAUGAUAUAUAGACUAAAUUUGCCAUGAUCCCAUAUUUAGAGAAAUGGUGCCAUGUUGCAAAAAAAGAGAGAAAUUUGCCAUUGUCCAGAAACUAAAAUUUGCCAUGCUCCAUUAACUAAAUUUUACAUGAUAUAUAGAUUAAGUUUGCCAUGGUCCCAUAUUUAAAGAAAAGGACAUUUACAUUUAUGCCCCUAAUUUGCGCCCACUCUCAGAUUUGCCCCCAAUUUCGAAGCCUGCUCAAAUUUACCCCUCCGCCGUUAGGUGCCCUUACAAAAAUGUCCUUCUGCGCUGUUACCGUCCGGUCAAAAGCGGUCAAAGAGCUUUGACCGUCCUGAAAAAAUAGCAAAAAAAUCUAAAAAAUCUGAAAUUUUGUCGGAUCAAAGAUACUCAGGUUCGCAAGACGCGUGCAAACUUUUGUGUUGUUUGGACAUUCCAGGAGCUUGCGGCAAAGAAAAAACAGUAGAUAUGUACGCUUGUGAACAGUAAAUUAAAAAAAUUGCAAAAAAAAUAAAAAAUAAUAUUUUUUUUGGCAUCAAAGAGGCUUGGGUCUGCAAGGUGCGUGCAAAGUUUUGUUGUGUUUGGACACUGUAGGAGCUCGUGGAGAAAAAAACAAACUUUGGCUCGGGAAAAAACUUUGGAAAAAAUGACUAUUGUUUUUUUGCUAGAGCUCCUCGCAUGUCAUUUGAUCACAAAAACUUGCAAGCACCUUGUGCACCCAAGCCUCUUUGAUGCCAAAAAAUUUCAUAUUUUUUGAAUUUUCUUGCUAUUGUAUUUCAAAUUUACUGUUCACAAGAGUACAGAUUAACUGUUUUUCCUCGCCACGAGCUUCUGAAAUGUCCAAAUAGCAUGAAAAUUUACACGCACCUUGCGCACAUGAGUAUUUUUGAUCUCUCAAAUUUUUAAAUUUUUCUUGCUAUUUUUUUCAGGACGGUCAAAACUCUUUGACCGGAGGGUAACGGCGCAAAAGGGCAUUUUUGUAAGGGCACCUAACAGUGGAGGGGCAAAUUUGAGCAGACUUCAAGGGGCAAAUCUGAGUAGGUGGUUCGAGUUAGGGAUAGAAAUGCAAAUGACCCUUAAAGAAAUGUUGCCAUGUUGCAUAAAAAGGAAUUUUGCCAUGGUCCAGAAAGUAAAUUUGCCAUGGUCCAUUAACUAAAUUUGACAAGCUCCAUUAACUAAAUUUGACAUGAUAUAUGGUCUAAAUUUGCAUAUUUAAAGAAAUCUUGUCAUGUUGCAAAAAAAAUUGCCAUGGUCUAGAAAGUAGCCAGGUCCAUAUACUAAAUUUGCCAUGAUAUAUAGACCAAAUUGGCCAUUGUCCCAUAUUUAAAGAAUUUUGCCAUGUUGCAAAAAAAAAAUUUGCCAUGGUUCAGAAAGUAAAAUUGCCAUGGUCCAUAUACUAAAUUUGCCAUGCUCCAUUAACUAAUUUUGCCAUGGUCCCAUAUUUAAAGAAAAAAUUUCAUGCUAAAUAUUUUUUUGCCAUGGUUCAGAAAGUAAAAUUGCCAUGACCAAUGGACUAAUUUGCCAUGAUCCAUAAACUUAAAUUGCCAUGGGCCUAUAAAAAAAGUUUUUUUUGCCAUGGUUCGAUAUCAUUACAUUUUUAUUGUACUUUUUUUAACGAUUUAAAGAAAAUUGCGAUGGGAUUUUACCAAAAUUUGCCAUGUCGGUUUACCACGACAGCUACUCAAAGAAAUUUGCCAUGGCAACUACUCAUAGCAAUUCUGUCCAUGGCAAAACUAGUCAUAACAGAUCUGCCAUGGCAGCUAUUCCAGAAUUUUGCCAUGACAACUACUCGUACCAAUUCUGUCCAUGGCAACUACUAAUAGCAUUUCUGCCAUGGCAACUAUUUGUUAAAAUAGGAAUGCAAAAGUAUUUACUAAAUUUGCCAAGACAAAUAGAAAGUAAAUUUAAAAAAUGUUUGUGAUGUUCGCAUGGCAAUUUCUGAAUAAAGAAAAACAUAUUAAUUUGCCAUGCAACACGGUUGAAAAUUCAUAGAUUUUCCCAUGUUGUGAAAACAUAAUGUGUUAGUGAAUUUGCCAUGCAACCUAUAUAUGAAUUUGCCAAGUUAUGAAUGGAAUCCAUGAAUUACCUAAAAAAAACGCAUAAUGGCCAUAUCCAUCAUUUACUGAAUAAAAAUUGAUGGCAACUUUUAUGAUGAUGCGAAUGUAUCAAAAUGUAUUGUUGCCAUGGCAACUUGCAUUACCAUGUAUACAGUUCCAACAUCAAUUUUUUUGUUAUGUCACAAAAAAUGAUGAUAACUUAAAUAUGAUUUCGUCCCUAAUACGAAGUAGCGAUGUUAUGUGAAUAAAUGGCCAUGAUUUAUCUAAAGACAGACAACCAGACAACAAAAAGCAGAGGAUCCAGAGCAUGCCGGAGCUGGACCCUUUAACAUUGAGAGUGAAAGUUAGGGAAGCUAUAGUACCCUAACUUUCCUUCUUUCUAUCCAUACGAUUAAGGCUAAAUUGACUUAAAUUAACUUCCAAAUUGAUGAUUUAUUGUGUACUUAUAGUAAUUACAUGCAAACAAAUUGACGAUGAAAUAAAAUUAAUUUAAAAUUAUUUAUAUCUACAGUAAAUAUCACCAGUAAACAACCUGCUAGGAGUACCUACUAACAGUCUCUAACUUUCUUUCUUCAUUUCACACUAGGCAAGCACUGUAGCACGGUGACUUUACUUCUCCAUGGUAGAGGAUCCGCUUCCGAGCAUGNNNNNNNNNNNNNNNNNNNNNNNNNNNNNNNNNNNNNNNNNNNNNNNNNNNNNNNNNNNNNNNNNNNNNNNNNNNNNNNNNNNNNNNNNNNNNNNNNNNNNNNNNNNNNNNNNNNNNNNNNNNNNNNNNNNNNNNNNNNNNNNNNNNNNNNNNNNNNNNNNNNNNNNNNNNNNNNNNNNNNNNNNNNNNNNNNNNNNNNNNNNNNNNNNNNNNNNNNNNNNNNNNNNNNNNNNNNNNNNNNNNNNNNNNNNNNNNNNNNNNNNNNNNNNNNNNNNNNNNNNNNNNNNNNNNNNNNNNNNNNNNNNNNNNNNNNNNNNNNNNNNNAGCUCACUGCGUCGGGGUGCCGGAGCAGCACAAAGCAGACGAGCGAUCUCCCGAGGCCGAGGUGAACCACACAACCUCGUCAUCGCCGACCAGCGGUACCACAACCGCCUCCGGCUCCCGCCCCAUCAAAGUCGUCGUCGCCGCGGAAGAUGACUGCCUGCUUCGUCACCCCAGUAGGAGGACCUUUGUCGCCGGCGGCCCCUUCCCCUGCGUUCCCGCCGCGCCAGCCAUUGCCGCAUCGGUUCCUUCGCACCGCGCCAUCGCCGGCUCGAGUACUUGUCGGCGUAGCACCCGUCGCUGCUGUACCCACCCCUCUCACAGGUGUGAGCAGCUCCCCUGCGCGAGGGUCAACCCCCACUCCCGCCGGCCGUCACUGUAAUCGCUCGGUUGGGGUCAAAAGAAGAGUGAGAGAAUUGAGAUGAGUGGGUAAGAGAAAGCAGUGGAAAGACAUGGGUGGCUCUUUCGGCCGCUUGCCUGCUCGGCCCGAACUCUCGACAAAACAAUGUGGCAACCAGUGCUUCAAGACACGUGUGUUUUACCCAACGGGUAAAAACACGCGUUCGGGCCGAAAUCCCAGAUUCCCGACGUUCGGGCGUUACCGUUUUCGAAAUUGAAUUGGGGAGUAUUUUCUUAAUAUUUUCUAAAAUAUAAUUUCACUAUUUAUGAUUCAAAUUACGUGACAAAUUUCUGCUUAAACGAAAAACACCUUAAAAGGAAAAGUUUUGCAUGUCACAAGUAAAUGCAGUGUGAUUUAAAACUCCACCUAGAGUGCACAUGUAUAUUCCAUAUGCUAGAGACAUUCUCAUUCCAAAUCGGAUGGAUGCUAGUGGACUAUGCUAGCAAAUUAACCGGCUGCAACAACUUUGAUGAUGUAUAAGCACUCAUGCGCGAUAAUGCCUUGCAGCGGGGUUUGUAAAAUGUAUAUAAAACACUACUGAUUCCUCGCGUAAAAAGCAGAGUAGUACUACUUACUGUCUUCAGAAUCCCAAAGAAAAACUUUCUCCUAAUUUUCCCCUUCUAACUGAAUUACCUAGUUAUGCACAGAUUUCAGGUUGCAGGACCGCGAUGCCUGUUGUUGGCAGUCAACAGAGAGGGCAACACGAAGGCUGCACUGGCACACGGAGCAAUGGAGCAAAUAGUCGGUCCGAGUUCAGAACAUUACCAAGUCAGAAGCACAAUGCUGAUCUUAUUUCCCACUACUGUAGAACAUUUGGAAACAUGAAAGCGCCCAGCUCUAAAACAACACAGCAGAGGCAGAACAGGGCAGUUCACCCUGUUCGGGCAGGGAACUUAAAAAACCUCUACAGAGGCAUACAGCCGAACACCUUGCGUGCACGCACCACCGCGCCGCGCUCGGCCAUCCACUCACUCGCCGCAGAUCUCCUUGAGCCGCCCUGCCGCCUCCGCGGCGUCGAUGGAGUACUGCAAGCCACGCGUUACAUAACUAGGAACGGUGAGAUAGGUAGCAGGAAUAGGUCGAUCCAUUGGCAUUCCAUUCCCAUGAGCCGCGAAUGAAAUGGAUGGUACGAUGAACACGCAAAGAGUGAGAAGGAGCACCGCAUUUGAUUGACGUGAUGGUACCUUGGAGAGGACCCAGGCGGAGUGGGCAUGCGCGCGGCGGAGGAGGUCGGCGAGGUCGUCGUCGGCGGAAAGGUGGCGGUAGUUGACGAAGUUCUCGCGGGCGUACUUCGCGUAGUAGGGCCGCGCGUCGGCAGGCAGCCGGCGCACCAGCCGCAGCACCUCCCGGUAGGCGCGCAGCCCGGCGUUCGUAAUCGCCUCCGAUCGAAUCCAGGUCUGGCAGGGCAAGGCGCACAAGCAAUACUACACGCUUGUACGGUAGUAGUCUACUAAACUCACAGCGGAAAAAAAACUCCAAUUAGCAAGAGUGCAACAUUUCUUUUUUCUCUCGAAAAGCAUCCCAAGGUUCACAAAAGGUAUAAAUCACUUCAAACAUAGUAAUAAAAAAUACGUGGAUGUAUGUAGACCAUCUAACAACCACCGUCGCCGGCAAAAUGAGCUGUCGAUGUGCCACUGUCGCCACUCCUCUACCGGAGCCGGUUUGACUUUGUAACCGGUAGCCGGAAAGUCUGUCUACAUAUGCCCCUAAGAACCAACACAUUAAAACCAACACAUCUGACAUCAAAUCUUGCCAUCAUGCACGCAUGACGAGAAGCCAUAGGGGCUGUUUGGUUUCAGCCCCCACCAGCCCUUCCAAAACGACGGCUUGCCAACUUUUUGGCGAAGGAAAUCGCCGCCAACAACUCGCCUGCGUGCUGGUAUAGAAUUGCAAGGGCGUGCCAAAAUUUUGGCUGCGAUCCAAACGCUUGCCAGCCUGUUGGUCAACGACCAACAUUUUGGAAGGGCAGCCGUGGGCUGCCAACCAAAGAGCCCCAUAACCUCGCCGACCGAAUGACACAUCAAGAAUCUACGUUGGGGCUCUAUCGAUUAUAGCUAGGCAGAUGAAUUCAGGGAGGGGCGGAUCUCGGGUAGGGGGUCCCGAAUUGUGCGUCUAGGGUCGAUGGUAACAGGAGAUAGCGGACACGAUGUUUACCCAGGUUCGGGCCCUCUCGAUGGAGAUAACACCCUACUUCCUGCUUGAUUGAUCUUGAUGAAUAUGAGGGUUACAAGAGUUGAUCUACCACGAGAUCGUAAUGGCUAAACCCUAGAAGUCUAGCCUGUAUGAUUAUGAUUACCCCUCCGGACUAAACCCUCUGGUUUAUAUAGACACCGGAGGGGCCUAGGGUUGUACAUAGUCGAUUUACAAAGGAAGGAAUCUACAUAUCCGAACGCGAAGCUUGCCAUCCACGUAAAGGAGAGUCCCAUCCGGACACGGGAAGAAGUCUUCUGUCUUGUAUCUUCAUAGCACAUUAGUCCGGCCCACGUCACACAGGCCGGACGUCCGAGGACCCCUUAAUCCAGGACUCCCUCAGUAGCCCCUGAGCUCUAUCGAUUAUAGCUAGGCAGAUGAAUUCAGGGAGGGGCGGAUCUCGGGUAGGGGGUCCCGAAUUGUGCGUCUAGGGUCGAUGGUAACAGGAGACGGCGGACACGAUGUUUACCCAGGUUCGGGCCCUCUCGAUGGAGAUAACACCCUACUUCCUGCUUGAUUGAUGUUGAUGAAUAUGAGGGUUACAAGAGUUGAUCUACCACGAGAUCGUAAUGGCUAAACCCUAGAAGUCUAGCCUGUAUGAUUAUGAUUACCCCUCCGGACUAAACCCUCUGGUUUAUAUAGACACCGGAGGGGCCUAGGGUUGUACAUAGUCGAUUUACAAAGGAAGGAAUCUACAUAUCCGAACGCCAAGCUUGCCAUCCACGCAAAGGAGAGUCCCAUCUGGACACGGGAAGAAGUCUUCUGUCUUGUAUCUUCAUAGCACAUUAGUCCGGCCCACGUCACACAGGCCGGAUGUCCGAGGACCCCUUAAUCCAGGACUCCCUCAGUAGCCCCUGAACCAGGCUUCAAUGACGAGGUGUCCGACAUGUAGAUUGUCUACGGCAUUGCAAGGAGGGUUCCACCCCCGAAUACUCCAAAGCGACCUUCGAACACAAAAAACGUGUCCGGCUCUGCAAAACAAGUUUCACACACAACCGCAGAGAGUAUAAUAUUUCAUGAGUCCAAUCUGCUGACAACUUUUGUAGCGUGACAUCACGUCCCUGCCCGGUCAUCAUUUUGAACCAUUUUUAGCCUCCCGCUCCAUGUUUCGAGAUGCGGUUUUAUUGACACGUCUUGUCAAAGCAGAGAUCGUGUCCCCUUAUUGCGGGAUUCUCAUCAAUACGAGCGUGGGUAAUCCAACCGUGCUGUCUACACGGCCCCUGGGGAAUAGGCGAGUUUUAAGGCGAGUGGGGAGGCGCUUGAUAUUCGCUGCCUUUAUAAGGAGAUAAGGAUUCACCCACGCCUUCUCUCGCUCUGCCCAUCCAUUCUCGAGCUCCAGCGCCCCAGCUUCCAUCAUUUCCAGCUCAGAGAACACUCCGACAAUGUUAGGAUCUGGAGCGCAGGGCAAGUGGAUGGUCUCCUCCGUCAAGGAGAAGGACAUCACCAAGCUCCGGGAGGCUGGGUACUUAGCCCAGGAGAUCGCCCACCGGCUUCCCGCAAUGGGGCAGAUCAUCCCCACCCCAGAGCCCCAUGAGAGGGUGGUAUUCAUCCCCCACUUCGUCCGCGGAUUGGGAUUCUCUCUCCACCCAUUCGUCUGCAGACUCAUGUUCUACUACGGGGUGGAUUUCCACGAUCUGGCCCCUAAAUCCUUCCUCAACAUCUCGGCAUUCAUUGUCGUGUGCGAGGCCUUCCUCCGCAUCCCACCCCACUUCGGAUUGUGUCUAAAGAUCUUCAAUGUGAAGCCGAAGGUGGUGGGUGACCAACACGCAGAGUGCGGAGGCGCCAUGGUGAGCAAGAUGCCCAACGUCACAUGGCCCAAAGGUACCUUCAUGGAGACCGUCAAAGGGUGGCAACAUCAGUGGUUCUACGUCACAGAGCCUCAUGAUGCCACCUGGGCCGCGGCUCCCGAAUUCCAGUCCGGAGCCCCGAUGCGGCUCACCUCCUGGCUAGAGAAGGGCCUGGACUGGUCUUCGGCGGACGAGGUGACAAUGCUUUAGACGAGCAUUAGGAGCAUGGUCG